RNAcentral lists this long non-coding RNA (49259 nucleotides) under Triticum aestivum (bread wheat). Its description in RNAcentral is "long non-coding RNA (TAES_LNC006881)". Lineage: Eukaryota; Viridiplantae; Streptophyta; Magnoliopsida; Poales; Poaceae. The record is from RNAcentral.
GGCGGCGGAGGGGUGAAGCCGCUGCCGCACAAGCAGGUUCCGCAGCCCAGCGAUGUGUACAACCCGGAGCUCGAGCGCCUCUAAGCUGAAGCUAAUUUAUAUACCGAGUAUUGUGUAGUAGCUUGCAUCUCGCCUCUUGGUUAAUCGUAAGCUAAUAUACUUCGAGAAUUUUGUCUCUGUUUUGCUAAUUGUUUACCGUUUGAGAUGUGAGGCCUGAGUGUGAACGAUAAUUUACAAAUUUCACCAAAUAAAUGAUGUAGUACUCCUUGUCAGAGCAUCAGCCGCGGUCACCUAAUUUGAAUCCCUAUACUCCUGCGCCCGGACGCGUCUGCUGAAGGUGACCGGACGGACAUCAUUUCUCCUGUUCAAUUUCUACAAUUUCUACGUACUUCAACAUAGCACAUAGCAAUCCGGCAUAGAUAACAUAGUUCGAUAAUUCGAUACAAAAGAUGUUGCAAUCCGGCAUAGAUAACAUAGUUCGAUACUUCAAUACGAAAGAUGUCGCGCAAAUUCAUCGCUAACAGUAUUAAAAAUCAACUAGUUGUACUUGGCAGGACCCAUGUCAGACGAGCGCGGGGCGCCACUGAGCUGAUGUUGCUGCUGCCCACCCAGCCAGUCGUCGACGCCCCGAAAGAGCUGUCACCCCAAUCCAGCAGCGACCAGCGGAGGGCAAUGCGGAGCGCUAACUCCUCCUCCGAUGGGUCGGAUUCACCGUCGAACAUGACGGACGAAGGCAACGCGGAGCGCUAGCUCCUCCUUUGAUAGGUCAGAUUCACCGUCGAAAAUGAUGGGCGGGGGAAGAUGAAGUGGUUUGGGGGAGAACUGAAGAGGUGGAGUGAGUACGGACUGAGUUUGAUUAGGAUUUGCUUCGAUCGUCAUAUAUUUCGUGGGGCUGGAGUGGAGUCAUUUUGGGCCAUAACGUUCACGAGUGUGCCCGGACAUUCCAUAUCCGUUUCAUAUUUAGGCUGGAUAUGAGGGGUGUCGGUCAGCUUGGGCAUUUGACCUGUUUGAGACGCUCGCUUGGAUUGAAAUUUGGUGACCGGAAGGUCCGCCAGGGCGAUUAAGACGGUUUUGAGGCGCCCGGCUGUAGGUGCUCUCAGACCUCAUUCAGUAAAAAGAAAUCUCGUUUGACCUAGAUCUAAAAUUUACUUUUGUUUACGUGGGGAGAUGUCUAGCCACUUCCAAAUAACUCUAUUUCAAUUAACUAGAUAAAUACCUCGCGAGUUACUGCAGGAAUAAGUUAAAAAUUCUAUUUUUCAUAAGAUUUGAUUGUGUGAAAUACAAAUAUUUAAAUUAAUAACACGUUAAUUAAAAUUAAAAACACACAGGACUUAUUAUAUUUGAUUGUGUAAAUUAGUAAAACGUUUGUUGAAUAUAAGUAGAACAAUAGAUGAAACUAUUUUUCCUUGCAUCUUGCAUGUGGUGGUGGAGCUUUUCUCAUGCAUGGUUGCAUAUUGAGGUUAGCAUUAUCCCAUUCCUAAUUAUAAGGUUGAGAUAAAUUAUUGUUUCACUCUUUUAGAUAUAUAAAUUAUAUUUUAUUUAACAAAGUUUAUCAUUAGUAAAGUAAACAAAUAUAAAGUAUAGAUGAGACUAUUACUGCAUGUGCAAAUCUAUUUGUUUUUAUCUACUUGUGUUAUAAUAAUUUGAGACAUACAUCAAUCUAUUGAGAUAUCCAAAUUGUGUCGAUCCAUCAAGGAUAAACAGUCACAUAUGCAUGAAAAUGACAUUGUGAAUUUUUAACAAGGUUCAUCAACAUGGUUACACCUGCAAGACAACAUAGCUACAUCUUUAUAGCAUGAUUGCACAACCAACGAUAAGUCCAUUGAGGCCAGCAAACCGACGCUUCGACCAUGUGUCACGACCAAAUUGGUCACCCAUGCCAAGCAUGACCACACAACCGAUGAUAAGUCCGUUGAGGCCGUCAAAUCAACGCUUCGACCAUCCGUCAUAAUCGGUUCGUUCAUCCUUGCCAAGCAUGGCUGCACAACCAACGAUAAGGUCGUUGAGACCAUCAAACCGAUGCUUCAACCAUCCGUCAUGAUCGGUCCGUCUGGUCACCCUUGCCACGGAGGCCCGUACCGCCUCGCGAUCUUUGUUUAGCCUACUAGCUUGUCUCUAGUCUAUUUGGCUACCCCGUGACGCCUUUAUAUAAUAAGACGGGAUUACACUGCCCGACUCAAACACGUCAUCUUUUUCAAAUUACUUUGGCUACCCCGUGACGCCUUUAUAUAAUAAGACGGGAUUACACUGCCCGACUCAAACACGUCAUCUUUUUCAAAUUACAAGUUUAAUUGUAACACAAUUCAUAAAUACACUUCCCCUUGACGAAUAUGUACUCUUCAUGCGUGAAUCUCGGUGUUACUUAAACUUUGACCAUUAAUCAUGAGCUCCACUGCUACUUUCUUGACUUCACAUGACUUGACCUACAACAUAGUCGCUUCUUUUUCUCAGUGACAUUCAAAGCAGCCACAACAAUUGAGUUUGUUUGCACUCUUGUUUUGUGUUCCUAAUAUCCCGAGUGUGUCUUCACUCUUGUUUGGUGUUCCCAAUCUCUGAAGUAUCCAUCCAACACCAUCAUACACCGACCAUAGAGUCAUCAAAUCUGUCAACGAUGUUAUAUUGUCAUCAUGUUAGCAUCUUCCAUGAUUUACAUGAAAGUGGACAACUUGCAUAUUGCCACAACAAGAAUUUUGAAAUCACCGUCCUUGCUAUUAUUAACUGCAUGUCUGAAUUUGAAGGAACUUUACGUUGCUCUUUAGCCAUCUCAAUUCAAAUUCACAGUUGUCUCACAUUUAUUCUGAAUAGUCUUUAACAUGCCCCACAGCUAUAGCACCUUGUCUCCUUCUACAUAGGUAAAUCAUACUUACCAUGUGCACAAAAUAUCACAGAAUAUACGAUCAAUUACUUUUCAAGAUUUUGACAUUCAAAUUUUCCAACACGUUCUCAGAUUGUCCAUAGUCAAUAUUUGAUGCGUCAAACUUGAUAGAUAUAGUCACCAACUUGUAGCUGGCACUCACGACACAGUUUCAACACUAUCUGCACAAUUUGUAUGACCAUAUAUCUGACCACUAAUUUCUUGGUCUGUUGAUGUAGCCCGUGCUUACCGCACACCUCAGCGUUAUUACCGUGCCAAGUCUCUGCUAUCCCGGUCGAAUCUCGUGGGUCGCUAACUGAUACGUCCAUUUUGCAUCAUGUUUUCCUACUGUUAUUUAUAGUGCUUUAAUCAAUAUAACACUUUAUGGAGAAAUUCUAAUGCCUUUUCUAUCUUAAUAUGCAAGAUUUACAUGAAGAGGGAGAUUGCUGGCACCUGGAAUUCUGGACUUGAAAAAUCUAUGUUAGAGAUGUCUAUUCUGCACAUCUCCAAAUGAGUUGAAAUUUCACGGAGAUUGAUUUUGGAAUAAAUAAAAAAUAUUGGAGCAAAGAAGUACCAGAGGGGGCCACCCAGGUGCCCACGAGGCACUAGGGCGCGCCCACCCCCAGGGCGCGCCCUGGUAGCUUAUGGGACCGCUGGCCAGCCUCCUGUGCCCAUCUUUUGGUAUAUAAGCUCAUUUGCCCUAGAGAAAUAUAAGGGGAGUACUUUCGGGAUGGAGCGCCGCCGUCUUGAAGCGGAACUUGGGCAGGAGCACUUUUGCUCUUCGGCGGAGCGAUUCCGCCGAGGACACUCCCUCAAGGAGGGGGAAGUCGAAGCCAUCGUCAUCACCAACAACCCUCUCAUCGUGAGAGGACCAAUCUUCAUGAACAUCUUCACCAGCACCAUCUCAUCUCAAACCCUUGUUCAUCUCUUGUAUUCAAUCUUUGUACCAAAACCUCAGAUUGGUACGUGUGAGUUGCUAGUAGUGUUGAUUACAUAUUGUAGUUGAUGCUAGUUGGUUUAUUGGGUGGAAGAUCAUAUGUUCAAAUCCAUUAUGAUAUUCAAUACCCCUCUGAUCUUGGACAUGAAUAUGAUGUGUGAGUAGUGACUUUUGUUCUUGAGGACAUGGGAAAAGUCUUGUCAUAAGUAAUCAUGUGAAUUGGGUAUUCAUUCGAUAUUUUGAUGAUAUGUAUGUUGUUGAUUCCCUUAGUGGUGUUAUGUGAACAUCGACUACAAGAUACUUCAUCAUUUUGGGCCCAAGGGAAUGCAUUGUGGAGUAGUAGUUAGAUGAUGGGUUGCUAGAGUGACAGAAGUUUAAACCCUAGUUUAUGCGCUAUUCCGCAAGAGGCUGAUUUGGAUCCAUAUGUUUAAUGCUAUGUAUAAAUUUAUCUUAAUUCUUCUUUCGUAUUUGCGGAUGCUUGCAAGAGGGGUUAAUCAUAAGUGGGAGGCUUGUUCAAGUAAGAACAGCACCCAAGCAUCGGUCCACCCACAUAUAUCAGUAGCGAACGCGAAUCAAACGAACAUGAUGAAAGUGACUAGAUGAGAUUCCCGUGAGUCCUCAAGAACGCUUAGCUUAUUAUAAGAGAUCGUUUCGUCCUGUCCUUUAUAAGGAAAAGGAUUGGGCUACCUUGCUGCACCUUAGUUACUAUUGCUACUUUUCACUUGUUACAAAUUAUCUUGCUAUCAAACUACUCGUUAUCGGUAAUUUGAGUGCUUGCAGAAAAUACCUUGUUGAAAACCGCUUGUCAGUUCCUUCUGCUCCUUGUUCGGUUUGGCACUCUUACUUAUAGAAAGGACUAUGAUUGAUCCCCUAUACGUGUGGGUCAUCAAGGCUCUUUUCCGGCAUCGUUACCGGGGAGUGAAGUUCCUCUAGUAAGUGGAAUUUGGUAAGGAAACAUUUAUAUUACAUGCUGAAAUUUACUGUUACUUGUUACUAUGGAAAAUAAUCAUUUGAGGGGUUUGUUCGGGGUAUCUUCACCUCAACCAGAAGCACAAAGAGUUGCUGCUCAACCUACUGCACCUACUGAAAAUAUUAUUACGAGAUUCCUUCGGGUAUGAUAGAGAAACUGCUAGCUAAUCCUUAUGUAGGAGAUGGAACGCUUCAUCCUAAUAUGCACCUAAUCUAUGCGGAUGAAGUUUGUGGAUUAUUUAAGCUUGCAGGUUUACCCGGAGAUGAAGUUAAGAAGAAGGUUUUCCCUUUAUCUUUGAAGGGAAAGGCAUUGACAUGGUAUAUGCUACGUGAUGAUAUUGGAACGUGUGAUUUGAACCGAUUUAAAUUGAAAUUUCAUCAAAAGUUUUAUCCUAUGCAUCUAGUUCAUCAUGAUCGGAAUUAUAUAUAUAAUUUUUCACCUCGUGAAGGAGAAAGCAUUACUCAAGCUUGGGGAGGCUUAAGUACAUGAUGUACACAAGCCCCAAUCAUGAGCUCCCAAAAGAAAAUAUCUUACAAAAAUUUUAUGCUCGGCUUUCUCAUGAUGAUCAAACCAUGCUCGAUUCUUUUCCAACUGGCUCCUUUAUGAAGAAAACUAUUGAAUUCAGAUGUGAUCUUCUAGAAAGAAUUAAAUGCAACUCUAAAGAUUGGGAACUUGACAAAGGUAAUGAGUCGGGUAUAAUACUUGAGUUUGAUUGUGUUAAAUAUUUUAUGGAUACCGAUGCUUUUCAUAAGUUUAGCACUAAAUUUUCACAAGUUUAGCACUAAAUAUGGACUUGACUCUGAGAUAGUAUCCUCUUUUUGUGAAUCAUUUGCUACUCAUGUUGACCUCAGUAAAGAGAAGUGGUUCAAAUAUCACCCCCUGCAAAGAAAAGAUUGAGGAGCCCGUGAUAGUUAAAGAUGAAACUAUGAUUUACAAUGUUGAUCCAAUUGUUCCUAUUGUUUAUAUUGAGAAAUCACCUUUCCCUGUUAGGAUAUAAAGGAACAUGCUAAGGUUUCACCCGUGGUUAAAAAAAGUAAUAUUAGAGCACCUAGACCCUCUGAACAAAUUAGAGUUAAACCUAACUUUGCUAUGGUUAAAGAUCUCUUGAUCAAUAAUAUAGAUGGGCAUGUUGUUUACUUUUGUGGUGAAGCCUCUAUAAUUGUUGAGCCUGAUACUGAAGAUAAGAAUAAACCUGUUGUUGGCAUGCCUGCUGUCUCAGUUAAUAUAGGAGAUCAUUGUUAUCAUGGCUUAUGUGAUUUGGGUGCUAGUGUGAGUGCUAUCCCGUUUACCUUAUAUCAGAAAAUUAUGAACGAUAUUGCACCUGCUGAAAUAGAGGAUAUUGAUGUUACUACUAAGCUUGCGAAUAGAUAUACUAUUACACCACUUGGGAUUGUUAGAGAUGUUAAAGUCUUGUGUGGAAAAAUAAAAUACCUGACUGAUUUUCUAGUUCUUAGUUGUCCACAAGAUGCUUUUUGUCCCAUAAUAUUCAGUAGACCUUUCUUGAACACUGUUAGUGCUAAGAUUGAUUGCUCUAAAGAAACUGCCAUUGUUAACUUUGGUAAUAUUUGUCAUGAGUUUAAUUUAUCUAAGUUUCGUAGACAAUGUCAUGACAAGGAAUCGUCUAGUAAAGAUGAAAUUAUUGGUCUUGCUUCUAUUGCCGUACCUCGUACUGAUCCGUUAGAAAAAUAUUUGCUAGACCAUCAAAAUGAUAUGCACUUGAAUGAAAUAGAUAAGAUGUUCUUUGAUCAACCACCUAUUCUUAAGCACAAUUUGCCUGUUGAAACUCUUGGAGGUCCUCCUCCACCUAAAGGUGAUCCUGUGUUUGAAUUAAAACAAUUGCCCGAUACAGUGAAAUAUGCUUAUCUUGAUGAAAAGAAGAUAUAUCAUGUUAUUAUUAGUGCUAACCUUUCAGAGCAUGAAGAAAAGAGAUUAUUAAAAACUUCGAGGAAGCACCGUGCUGCUAUUGGAUAUACUCUUGAUGAUCUUAAGAGCUUUAGUCCCACUCUAUGUCAGCACAAAUUAAUAUGGAGCCUGAUGCUAAACCAGUUGUCGAUCAUCAACGACGAUUAAAUCCUAAGAUGAAUGAGGUCCUAAGAAUUGAAAUAUUAAAGCUUCUGGAAGCAGGUAUAGUCUAUCCCUUAGCUAAUAGUAGAUGGUAAGUCUCGUUCAAUGUGUCCCUAAGAAAUGAGGCAUUACUGUUGUCCCUAAUGAUAAAAAUGAACUAAUUCCACAAACAAUUAUAACUGAUUAUAGGAUGGUAAUUGAUUUUAGAAAGUUAAAUGAAAUCCACUAGAAAAGAUCAUUACCCCAUACCUUUUAUUGAUCAAAUGUUAGUAAGAUUGUCUAAGCAUACACACUUUUGCUUUUUUGAUGGAUAUUCUGGUUUCUCUCAAAUACAUGUAUCACAAUAUGACUAGGAGAAAACCACCUUUACUCGUCCUUUUGGAACUUAUGCUUAUAGACGUAUGCCUUUUGGUUUAUGCAAUGCAUUUGCUACCUUUCAAAGAUGUAUGGCUACUAUAUUCUCUGACUUUUUUGAAAAGAUUGUUGUGGUUUUCAUGGAUGAUUUUUUUGUUUAUGGAACUUCUUUUGAUGAUUAGUUAAGCAACCUUGAUCGAGUUUUGCAGAGAUGUGAACAAACUAAUCUUGUCUUGAAUUGGGAAAAGUGUCACUUUAUGGUGAAUGAAGGUGUUGUCUUGGGACAUAAAAUUUCUGAACGAGGCAUUGAAGUGGAUAAAGCUAAAGUUGGUGCAAUUUAGAAAAUGCCAUGUCCUAAAGAUAUUAGAGGUAUAAGAAGUUUCCUUGGAGGUUUAUUAAAGACUUCUCUAAAAUUUCUAGGCCUCUUAUUAAUAUCUUGCAAAAAGAUGUUCCAUUUGUUUUUUAUGAUGAUUGUGUAGAAGCCUUUGAAACACUCAAGAAAGCCUUAACUUCUGCACUAUUGUUCAACCCCCUGAUUGGAACUUGCCUUUUGAAAUCAUGUGUGAUGCUAGUGAUUACGCUGUUGGUGAUGUUCUAGGACAAAGAGUUGAUAAGAAAUUAAAUGUUAUGCCUUAUGCUAGUAAAACUCUAUACAAUGCUCAAAGAAAUUAUGCUAGUACUGAAAAAGAAUUUCUAGCAGUUGUGUUUGCAUGUGAUAAAUUUAGAUCUUACAUUGUUGAUUAUUGUUCACACCGAUCAUGCUUCUAUUAAAUACCUUAUGGAAAAGAAAGAUGCUAAACCUAAGCUCAUUAGGUGGGUUCUACUGCUACAAGAAUUUGACUUGCACAUUACUGAUGGGAAGGGAGCUGAGAAUCCCAUAUCUGAUAACUUGUCUAGGUUAGAAAAUGUUCUUGUUGACCCACUACCUAUUGAUGAUAGUUUUCCCGGUGAGUAAGUAACUGUCAUAAAUAACUCUCAUAACAGUCCAUGGUAUGCAGACUAUGCUAAUUAUAUUGUUGCUAAAUUUAUACCACCUAGUUUUACAUACCAACAAAAUAAAAAGUUCUUCUUUGAUUUAAGACAUUACUUCUGGGAUGACCCACAUCUUUAUAAAGAAGGAGUGGAUGUAUAAUAAAUGUUGUGUACCUGAGCUUGAAUAGGAACAAAUCCUAUGGAAGUGUCACUCUGAGUCUUAUGGAGGACCAUGCGGGAGACAGAAAGAUACACAAGGUAUUACAAUCUGGUUUUUACUGGCCUACUCUUUUCAAGGAUGCUUGUAAGUUUGUCUUAUCUUGUGAUGAAUGUCAAACAAUUGGCAAUAUUGGUAGACAUUAGGAAAUGCCAUGAAUUAUUCACUCAUUAUUGAACCAUUUGAUGUUUGGGGAUUUGAUUAUAUGGGACCUUUUCCUUCCUCUAAUGGGUAUACACAUAUUUUGGUUGUUUUUGAAUACGUUACUGAGUGGGUAGAAGCUAUCCCAACUAGUAGUGUUGAUCAUAACACUUCAAUUAAAAUGCUUAAAGAAGUUAUUUUCCCGAGGUUUGGAGUCCCUAGAUAUUUAAUGACUGAUGGUGGCUCACAUUUUAUUCAUGGUGCUUUCCAUAAAUUGCUUGCUAAAUAUGAUGUCAACCAUAGAGUUGCAUCCCCCUAUCAUCCUCAAUCCAGUGGUCAAGUUGAAUUCAGCAAUAGAGAAAUAAGGUUAAUUUUGCAAUAGACCGUCAAUAGAUUUAGAAUUAAUUGGUCUAAGAAACUUGACGAUGCAUUACGGGCUUAUAGAACUACUUAUAAAAAUCCCAUGGGUAUGUCUCCAUAUAAAAUGGUCUAUGGAAAAGCAUGCCAGUUACCUCUUGAAUUAGAACAUAAGGCAUAUUGGGCAAUUAAAGAACUCAAUUAUGAUUUCAAACUUGCUGAUGAAAAGAUGUUAUUGAUAUUAGCUCGCUAGAUGAAUGGAGAACCGAGCUUAUGAAAAAGCAAAAUUGUUUAAAGAAAAAGUUAUAAGAUCUCAUGAUAAAACAAUCCAAAAACGGGAACUCAAAGUGGGUGAGUGUGUUCUAUUGUACAAUUCUCGUUUUAGAUUUUUUGCAGGAAAAUUUCUCUCCAAAUGGGAAGGACUGUAUAUCAUCAAGGAAGUUUAUCGCUCUGGAGCUAUUAAGAUCAAUAACGCCGAAGGCACUAAUUUGAAGGUGGUCAAUAGACAAAGAAUUAAGCAUUAUAGGUACGCCUAUUAAUAUUGAAACUAACAUUAUUCAAACUAUGACACCAAAGGAAUACAUAAAAGAGACCUUCCAGAACACUUCAGAACCCUGAAAAGGAAGAGGUACGUGAUACGGUAAGUAAACCGACUCCAAAAAUUCCAUAAAAUACUUUCUGUUAGUUUUGGAAUAUUAGAAAAAAUACAAAAAUAAGAAACACCCAAGGGGGCUACCCAGGUGCCCACGAGGCACCAGGGCCCCUCGUGAGCCUUCCCGGCUCUAUUUUCUUCUGGAAUACUUGUUUUGCAAGAUAAACAUUCUUUAUAUAUACCACCGGACAUUUUGACCACCGCAUCACAGAAAUAUCCUCUGUUCUUGUUUCGUGUUGUUCUCUGUCAAAUCUUCCAAGCCAGGCAGCAUGUCUUCUUCCUCCUCCAACAAGGUUGAAGAUGAUGCUUGGCUGUUGCAAAUGGAACUAAGGAGAGAGAGAGGGGACCGAUGAGGUUGCCAUGGAAGAAGGUGAAGGAAACUCGCCUAGAGUCCACCCUCCGGCUUCCGAGAGGGGCACGCUAGCUAGCAUCUCCACUACUCCGAACCCCCAUUAAGCCAUGAGGCCAAUGAACUAUCAAGGGAAUCAUGAAGUGCAAGGUGGACUUCCUCCUAGGAGGCCCUUACACAGGUUAUAUUGGAACAAUUUUCAUAAUUUGGUUCACAACUAUGGGGUCAAAAAUACUCCUUGUAUACACAUAUCGUCUAAUUGGGACAUAUCUUGUCCAAGAGAAAGUGAUGGAGAAACAAUCUCGUGGGGAUCGGAGAAUAAACAUAUUAUGGCUGAGGUGGAGAGGAACACUGAGUUAACUCGUCAAGCUGUCCGGGAAAUUCAAAGUUUGAGGGAGGCACUCAUGAGUAUUAUGAAGGACAAGCUCACCACUUCAUCACCACCACCAUCACCGAAGAAAGAAUCUUUAGUACGCGGGUAUGGGCACUCCCCUUGGCUUGUGCCAAGCUUGGGGGAGGUGCCACAGUAUUGUAUCAUCAUCACUUUUAUUAUCUUUACCUAUUUUUAGUUUGAUCCUUAGCUAUUUCAUGAUAGUUUAGUAUGAUCUAUUUUCGAGUGCUAGUUUCGUGAUCUAUCUAUCUAUGUAACCAAGUUGAGAGUUAUAUAAUAAAGAGUAGUUUGAGUUUUCGUUUCUUUACUUUUAUGUUUCAAUCCUAGCAAUGAAAAUAAUGAAAAAGAUCAUAUGCCAAUCUUAUGGAAAGUAAUGACAUUACAUAAGGAAAAGUAUAAGUGGUAAAAUUUAUUGAAAGUUGACAAACAUAACAUUGGUCAACAAUGCAAUUCAUGAAAAACUUAAUAAGGGAAGAGAAGAUUCACAUGAAAAUACACUAUCUUGGACAUUUUUUAUGAUUGUGAGCCCCCAUUAAGUAUUUUAUGCCAAAUUGUUGACGUUGGACAAGGAAGACAACAUAAUGAAUUAUGUUUUCUUAUAUUCACAUAGAAGUUAUAUUGUCAUAGAUCCUCCAACAUGUGGUGCUUGCCCAAUAUUUUUGCUAGCAAAAAUUCCGCACCAAGUAGAGAUACUAUUUCCAAAAACCUUAAACUCAGUUUCAUGUCAUGAGAAUCCACUAUAUCUACCUAUGGAUUGAACAAGAUCCUUCAAGAAAGUUGUCAUCGGUGCAUAAAGCAAUAAAAAUCGCUCCUAAAUAUGUAUGAUCUUUUAUUGUAAGGGAAAAUGAGCUUUGUACGAUCUUGUGAUGGUAAAGAAAUAAAAGCGGUGGACUGCAUAAUAAAGGUUGCUAUCACAAGGGGCAAUAUAAAGUGACGUUCCUUUGCAUUAAGAGCUUGUGCAUCCAAAAACAAAAAGCGUAUGAAAACCUCUACUUCCCUCUGUGAAGGGCCUAUCUUUUACUUUUAUCUAUUUACUUUUUAUGCAAGAGUCAAUAGUGUUCUCCUCUAUUCCUUUUUAUUUUUCUCUUUUGCAAGCAUCAUGUGGCGGGGAAAGAUCUAGGCAUAUAUAUCCAGUUGGAUAUGAGUGAUCAUGAGUUAUUAUUGUUGACAUCACCCUUGAGGUGAAUAAGUUGGGAGGCGAAAUUAUAAGCCCCUGUCUUUCUAUGUGUCUGGCUGGAACUUUUUGCUCCAUAUAUAUGUUGUGAGUGUUAGCAAUCAUAGAAGACUAAAUGAUGGUUGAGUAUGUGGACUUGAUAAAAAGCUCCGACAUGAGACUCUUCCUAAAAAUAUGAUGAAUUGUAAUUGCAUUGUUGACCAAGAACAUAGUUUGUUAGUUUUCAAGAAAAUUUAUGCCUUAUACUUCAUUGCUGUGAUGAAUUAUUACAUGCUCAUGAGAAGUUUUACGAUAAUAAAUAUUGUUGCCGUAAUAAUGAUCAUGAUACUACUAUGUCCGUAUUUUGUUUUAUCAACACCUCUCUCUUCCUCCAAACAUGUGGACAUGAUAAUCGAUAUCGGCUUUCGCUUGAGGAUAAGCAAGGUCUAAGCUUGGGGGAGUUGAUACGUCCAUUUUGCAUCAUAUUUUCCUACUGUUAUUUAUACUAUUUUAAAUCAAUAUAACACUUUGUGUAGCAAUUCUUAUGCCUUUUCUCUCUUAAUAUGCAAGAUUUACAUGAAGAGGGGGAUUGCAGCAGCUGGAAUUCUGGACCUGAAAAAGCUAUCUCGGAGACACCUAUUCUGGACAUCUCCAAAUGAGCUAAAAUUUCACAGAGAUUUAUGUUGGAAUAAACAAAAAAUAUUGGAGCAAAGAAGUAACAGAGGGGGCCACCCAGGUGUCCACGAGGCACUAGGGCGCGCCCACCGCCCCAGGGCGCUCCCUGGUGGCUUGUGGGGCCCCUGGCCAGCCUCCGGUGCCCGUCUUCUGGUAUAUAAGCCCAUUUUCCCUAGAAAAAAUAAGGGGAGGACUUUCGGGGUGGAGCUCCGCUGUCUCGAGGCGGAACUUGGGCAGGAGCACUUUUGCUCUCCGGCGGAGCGAUUCCGCUGAGGACACUUCUAAUGUCUACUACGCAACCUUCUUCUUGUAGACGUUGUUGGGCCUCCAAGUGCAGAGGUUUGUAGGACAGUAGCAAAUUUCCCUCAAGUGGAUGACCUAAGGUUUAUCAAUCCGUGGGAGGCGUAGGAUAAAGAUGGUCUCUCUCAAACAACCCUGCAACCAAAUAACAAAGAGUCUCUUGUGUCCCCAACACACCCAAUACAAUGGUAAAUUGUAUAGGUGCACUAGUUCGGCGAAGAGAUGGUGAUACAAGUGCAAUAUGGAUGGUAUAUAAGAGUAUUUGUAAUCUAAAAAUAUAAAAACAACAAGGUAACAAGUAAUAAAAGUGAGCGGAAAUGGUAUUGCAAUGGUAGGAAACAAGGCCUAGGGUUCAUACUUUCACUAGCGCAAGUUCUCUCAACCAUAAUAACAUAAUUGGAUCAUAUAAAUAUCCCUCAACAUGCAACAAAGAGUCACUCCAAAGUCACUAAUAGCGGAGAACAAACAAAGAGAUUAUUGUAGGGUACGAAACCACCUCAAAGUUAUUCUUUUCGAUCAAUCAAUUGGGCUAUUCCUAUAAGUGUCACAAACAACCAUAGAGUUUGUAGUAAAAUAACACCUUCAGACACAAAUCAACCGAAACCCUAAUGUCACCUAGAUACUCCAAUGUCACCUCAAGUAUCCGUGGGUAUGAUUAUACGAUAUGCAUCACACAAUCUCAGAUUCAUCUAUUCAAGCCAACAUAAAGUACUUCAAAGAGUGCCCCAAUGUUUCUACCGGAGAGUCAAGACAAAAACGUGUGCCAACCCCUAUGAAUAAGUUCACAAGGUCACUGAACCCACAAGUUGAUUACCAAAACAUACAUCAAGUAGAUCACGUGAAUAUCCCACUGUCACCACAGAUAAGCACAUGCAAGACAUAUAUCAAGUGUUCUCAAAUCCUUAAAGACUCAAUCCGAUAAGAUAACUUCAAAGGGAAAAUACAAUCCAUUACAAGAGAGUAGAGGGGGAGAAACAUCAUAAGAUCCAACUAUAAUAGCAAAGCUCGUGAUACAUCAAGAUCGUGCCAUAUCAAGAACACAAGAGAGAGAGAGAGAGAGAGAGAGAGAUCAAACACAUAGCUACUGGUACAUACCCUCAGCCCCGAGGGUGAACUACUCCCUCCUCGUCAUGGAGAGCACCGGGAUGAUGAAGAAGGCCAUCGGUGAUGGAUUCCCCCUCCGGCAGGGUGCUGGAACGGGCUCUCGAGGUUUUUUUUGUGGCUACAGAGGCUUGCGGUGGCGGAACUCCCGAUCUAGUUUUCGGGGGUUUCUGUAUUUAUAGGAAUUUUGGCGUCGGUCUGACGUCAGGGGGUCUCCGAGUCGUCCACGAGAUAGGGGGGGCAUGCCCAGGGGGUAGGGCGUGCCCUCCACCCUCGUGGAUGGCUUGGGACUCUUCUGGCCCAACUCUUUUACUUCGGGGGCUUCUUUUGGUCCAUAAAAAAUCAUCAAAAAUUGGCACGUCAAUUGGACUCCAUUUGGUAUUCCUUUUAUGUAAAACUCAAAAACAAGGAAAAACAUAAACUGGCACUGUGCUCUAGGUUAAUAGAUUAGUCCCGAAAAUCAUAUAAAAUAGCAUAUAAAUGCAUAUAAAACAUCCAAGAUGGAUAAUAUAAUAGCAUGGAACAAUAAAAAAUUAUAGAUACGUGGGAGACGUAUCAAGCAUCCCAAGCUUAAUUCCUACUCGUCCUCAAGUAGGUAAAUGAUAAAAACGGAAUUUUUGAUGUUUAAUGCUACCUAACAUAUUUAUCCAUGUAAUUUUCUUUAUUGUAGCAUGAAUAUUCAGAUCCAUAAGAUUCAAAACAAAAGUUUAAUAUUGACAUAAAAAUAAUAAUACUUCAAGCAUACUAACAAAGCAAUCAUGUAUUCUCAAAAUAACAUGGCCAAAGAAAGUUAUCCCUACAAAAUCAUAUAGUCUGGCUAUGCUCUAUCUUCAUCACACAAAAUAUUUAAUCAUGCACACCCCGAUGACAAGCCAAACAAUUGUUUCAUACUUUUGAUGUUCUCAAACUUUUUCAAUCUUCACGCAAUACAUGAGCGUGAUCCAUGGAUAUAGCACUAUAGGUGGAAUAGAAUGGUGGUUGUGGAGAAGACAAAAAGGAGAAGAUAGUCUCACAUCAACUAGGCGUAUCAACGGGCUAUGGAGAUGCCCAUCAAUAGAUAUCAAUGUGAGUGAGUAGGGAUUGCCACGCAAUGGAUGCACUAGAGCUAUAAGUGUGUGAAAGCUCAAAAGGAAACUAAGUGCGCGUGCAUCCAACUCGCUUGCUCACGAAGACCUAGGGCAUUUUGAGGAAGCCCAUCAUUGGAAUAUACAAGCCAAGUUCUAUAAUGAAAAAUUCCCACUAGUAUAUGAAAGUGACAACAUAGGAGACUCUCUAUCAUGAAGAUCAUGGUGCUACUUUGAAGCACAAGUGUGGGGAUAGUAGCAUUACCCCUUCUCUCUUUUUCUCUCAUUUUUUUAAUUUUUUUGUUUGGGCCUUUCUUUUCUUUUUCUUUUUUUGGCCUCUUUUUUUUUUGUCCGAGUCUCAUCCCGACUUGUGGGGGAAUCAUAGUCUCCAUCAUCCUUUCCUCACAUGAGACAAUGCUCUAAUAAUGAAGAUCAUCACACUUUUAUUUACUUACAACUCAAAAAAUUACAACUUGAUACUUAGAACAAAAUAUGACUCUAUAUGAAUGCCUCCGAUGGUGUACCGGGAUGUGCAAUGAAUCAAGAGUGACAUGUAUGAAAGAAUUAUGAACGGUGGCUUUGCCACAAAUACGAUGUCAACUACAUGAUCAUGCAAAGCAAUAUGACAAUGAUGGAGCGUGUCAUAAUAAACGGAAUGGUGGAAAGUUGCAUGGCAAUAUAUCUCGGAAUGGCUAUGGAAAUGCCAUAAUAGGUAGGUAUGGUGGAUCUUUUGAGGAAGGUAUAUGGUGGGUGUAUAGUACCGGCGAGAGUUGCGCGGUACAAGAGAGGCUAGCAAUGGUGGAAGAGUGACAGUGUGUAUAAUCCAUGGACUCAACAUUAGUCAAAAAUAACUCACAUACUUAUUGCAAAAAUCUAUUAGUUAUCGAAAUGAAGUACUACGCGCAUGCUCCUAGGGGGAUAGAUUGGUAGGACAAUACCAUCGCUCGCCCCCGACCGCCACUCAUAAGGAAGACAAUCAAUAAAUAAAUCAUGCUCAGACUUCAUCACAUAACGGUUCACCAUACGUGCAUGCUACGGGAAUCGCAAACUUUAACACAAGUAUCUCUCAAAUUCACAACUACUCACUAUAAUGACUCUAAUUCCUCAUAUCUCAAAACAAUCAUAAGGAAUCAAACUUCUCAUAGUAUUCAAUGCAUUUUAGAUGAAAGUUUUUAUUAUAUACCUCUUGGAUGACCAUCAUAUUAGGACUAAAUUUAUAACCUAAGAAAAUUACCAUGUUGUUCUAAAGACUCUCAAAAUAAUAUAAGUGAAGCAUUAGAGUUCAUCAAUUUCUUCAAAAUAAAACCACCUUCGUGCUCUAAAAGGAUAUAAGUGAAGCACUAGAGCAAACGACAAACUACUCCGAAAGAUAUAAGUGAAGAUUAAUGAGUAGUCGAAUAAUUAUGCAACUAUGUGAAGACUCUCUAACAUUUAAGAAUUUUAGACCUUGGGAUAUUAUUCAAACAACAAGCGAAACAAAAUAAAACAAAAUGAUGCUCCAAGAAAAACACAUAUCAUGUGGUGAAUAAAAAUAUAGCUCCAAGUAAAGUUACCGAUGAAUGAAGACGAAAGAGGGGAUGCCAUCCGGGGCAUCCCCAAGCUUAGGCUCUUGGUUGUCCUUAAAUAUUACCUUGGGGUGCCUUGGACGUCCCCAAGCUUAGGCUAUUGCCACUCCUUAUACCAUUGAGGAAAGCACUUUUCACAUCCAUUUGUUGUAAUAUUAAUAUCAUGAUGGUUAGCAUAAACAAGUAAUAUGCGAAUAGCCUCAAGUCUAGCAACAGGUGCAAAAGUUUCAUCAAAGUCAAUUCCUUCAACAUGUGUGUAGCCUUGAGCUACAAGCCGUGUCUUAUUCCUCACCACAAGGCCAUUUUCAUCUUGCUUGUUGGGGUAGAUCCACUUUGUGCCAAUGAUGUUGUGCUUGCGAGGAUCUGGAUGUUUGACCAGUUCCCAGAUGUUGUUGAGCUCGAACUGAUGUAAUUCUUCUUGCAUAGCUUGAAUCCACUCAGGCUCCAGAAAUUCUUCAUCUACCUUAGUGGGCUCUGUGAUAGAGAAAAGCAUAGUGCCCACAAAAGUUAGACAAAUGUGAAGUUUUUGAGCGUGUGAGAGGACCUGGUGCUUCAAUGUCAUCGAUGAUCUUCUCGACUUGCACUUCGUUUGCAAUGCGAGGAUGAGCGGGUUGUCUUCGAGGAAUUUGAUCCGCAUUUUCUUCAGGAGCAUUUUCCCCAGCACCAUUUUCUUCAGGUGCGCCAGCUCGAUGUUCUUCAUGUUCUAGAAUGAAUUGUUCAGCAGAUUCUUCAGUAGGAAUGACAUCCUCAGUAGCCUUGAACUUGAUAGCUUCCUCGGGUGUUGGUUCAUCUAACACAGAAGGUAGGUGCUCUCUUUGCGAGCCAUUAGUUUCAUCAAACCGCACAUCUACAGUUUCAACAACCUUGUGGAGAACGUUGUUGAAGACUUUGUAGGUGUGCGAGUCCUUUUCGUAACCAAGCAUAAAACCCUCAUGUGCUUUCGGUGCAAAUUUAGAAUUGUGAUGAGGGUCUCUAAUCCAACAUUUAGCACCGAAGACUUUGUUGGGUUUCUUGUCAGUGAGGAGUUCAUAAGCAGUCUUCUUGAAGAAUUUGUGAAGAUAUACUCUGUUAAUGAUGUGGCACACAGUAUCAAUUGCCUCAAUCCAUAAACGAUGAGGCGUCUUGUAUUCAUCAAGCAUAGUGCGUGCCAUCUCAACAAGAGUUCUGUUCUUGCACUCCACGACGCCAUUCUCCUGAGGAGUAUAAGGAGCAGAUAACUCAUGAGUAAUACCAAGUUCAUCAAGAUAGUCAUCAAGACCGGAAUUCUUGAACUCAGUCCCAUUGUCACUUCUGAUGUGCUUGAUCUUCACACCAAAGUUGGUUGAAGCCCUCGAGGAAAAUCGUUUGAAUACUUCCUGCACCUCAUGUUUGUAAGUGACAAUGUGCACCCAUGUGUAACGAGAAUAAUCAUCAACAAUAACAAAGCCAUAUAGAGAUGCAUCAUUCGUAACAGCAGAAUAAUGAUUUGGACCAAAGAGAUCCAUGUGAAGUAAUUCAAAUGGUCGAGCGGUAGUCAUGAUAGUCUUCGCUGGAUGCUUGGCCUUUGUCAUCUUUCCAGCUUCACAGGCUCCGCAUAAGUGAUCCUUGAGGAAUUUGACAUUCUCAAUGCCAAUGACAUGCUUCUUCUUCGCAAGCGUGUGCAAAUUCCUCAUGCCAGCAUGACCAAGUCGUCGAUGCCAUAGCCAGCCUUCUGAAGCUUUUGCAAGUAGGCAUACGGCCGGUUGUGGUCCUGUAGAGAAAUCAACAAUGUACAAGUCUCCUCUCCUAAAGCCUUCGAAGACUUUGCAAUUGUCAGCUUCCAUGAUCACAACACAACGAUAUUUUCCAAAGACAACAACCAUAUCGAGAUCACAAAGCAUUGAGACAGACAUGAGGUUGUAUCCUAAGGACUCGACAAGCAUGCCUUUGUCCAUGUGUCGAUCCUUUGAGAUCGCAUCCUUACCUAGACCCAAUACCUGACUUUUGCCUUUGUCAGCGAAGAUGAUAUGCUUCAGAUGCGAUGGUGAUAAAGGAGCAUCCAUCAAUAGAUUCUUGUCACCAUUCAUGUGUUUCAUACAUCCACUAUCGAGGACCCACUCAUUUUCUUUGGGUUGAUCAUCCUGCAGAUGAAUUAGUGCAAUGUAUGAACUCAUAUACUUCAUCAGUGAAGAAUAUGACAUCAAUAUCAUCAAAUCAAAAUCAUCAAGCAGAAGAACAGAUAAAACAGUAUGAGGACGUGAGAAAUGAAAGUUCAUUUCUUCAUGAUUAGCCUGCGUCCUUUCAGGCAAUCUUCAGGUCUCCAGCAAAUUCUUCAGACGUUUCCAGCACGUGUGGGGACCUUACCCUGCAUAAGAGAUUAGUUCUUUUUCUUCACCACCCACAUCUGAAGGGGUGCAAAGAAUUCAUCACUCUGCAAGUGCUACGUCUCGAGCUUGCGUUGGUUUUCCCCAAAGAGGAGAGGAUGAUGCAGCACAGUAGCGUAAGUAUUUCCCUCAGUUUUUGAGAACCAAGGUAUCAAUCCAGUAGGAGGUCACGCGCAAGUCCCUCGUACCUGCACAACACAAUAGCAACUCGCAACCAACGCUUAGGGGUUGUCAAUCCCUUCACGGUCACUUACGAGAGUGAGAUCUGAUAGAGAUAAUAUUUUUGGUGUUUUUGAUAGAUAGAUUGAUAUGAUGAGAAUAGACCCGGGGGCCAUAGGUUUCACUAGUGGCUUCUCUCAAGAGCAUAAGUAUUCUACGGUGGGUGAACAAAUUACUGUUGAGCAAUUGACAGAAUUGAGCAUAGUUAUGAGUACAUCUAGGCAAUGAUCAUGUAUAUAGGCAUCACAUCCGUGACAAGUAGAUCGAAACGAUUCUGCAUCACUACUAUUACUCCACUCAUCGACCGCUAUCCAGCAUGCAUCUAGAGUAUUAAGUUAAAAACAGAGUAACGCCUUAAGCAAGAUGACAUGAUGUAGAGGGAUAAAUUCAUGCAAUAUGAUAAAAACCCCAUCUUGUUAUCCUCGAUGGCAACAAUACAAUACGUGCCUUGCAACUCUUUCUGUCACUGAGUAAGGACACCGCAAGAUUGAACCCAAAGCCAUGCACUUCUCCCAUUGCAAGAACUACCAAUCUAGUUGGCCAAACCAAACGGAUAAUUAGAAGAGACUUGCAAAUAUAACUCAAUCAUACAUAAAAGAAUUCAGAGAAGAAUCAAAUAUUUUCCAUAGAUAAUACUGGAUCAUAAACCCACAAUUCAUCGAUCUCAACAAACACACCGCAAAAAGAAGAUUACAUCGAAUAGAUCUCCACGAGAGAGGGGGAGAACAUUGUAUUGAGAUCCAAAAAGAGAGAAGAAGCCAUCUAGCUACUAGCUAUGGACCCGAAGGUCUGAAGUAAACUACUCACACUUCAUCGGAGGGGCUAUGGUGAUGAUGUAGAAGCCCUCCGUGGUGGAUGCCCCCUCCGGCGGAGCUCCGGAAUAGGCCCCAAGAUGGGAUCUCAUGGAUACAGAAGGUUGUGGCGGUGGAAUUAGGUUUUUGGCUCCUCUUGGUCUAUUGGGGAUACGUAGGUAUAUAUAGGAGGAAGGAGUACAUCGGUGGAGCUCCGAGGGGCCCAUGAGGUAGGGGGCGCGCCUAGGGGGGAGGGUGCGCCCUCCACCCUCGUGACCGCCUCGUAGCUUUCUUGACGGAGGGUCCAAGUCUCCUAGAUAUUAUCUGAUGAGUAAAUCACGUUCCCGAAGGUUUCAUUCCGUUUGGACUCCGUUUGAUAUUCUGUUUCUUCGAAAUACUGAAAAAGGCAAAAAACAGCAAUUCUGGGCUGGGCCUCUGGUUCAUAGGUUAGUCCCAAAAAUAAUAUAAAAGUGGAAAAUAAAGCCCAUUAUAGUCCAAAACAGUAGAUAAAGUAGCAUGGAGCAAUCAAAAAUUAUAGAUACGUUGGAGACGUAUCAAGCAUCCCCAAGCUUAAUUCUUGCUCGUCCUCGAGUAGGUAAAUGAUAAAAAGGAAUUUUUGAUGCGGAGUGAUACUUUGGCAUAAUUUCAAUGUAAAUCUUCUUAAUUGUGAUAUGAAUAUUCAGAUCCGAAAUAUUCAAGACAAAAGUUCAUAUUGACAAAAAAAUAAUAAUACUUCAAGCAUACUAAUCAAAGCAAUCAUGUCUUCUCAAAAUAACAUGGCAAAAGAAAGUUCGUCCCUACAAAAUCAUAUAGUUAGGCUAUGCUUCAUUUUCGUCACACAAAGAUGUUCCCAACUUCUAUACCGCCGAUGACAAGCCAAGCAAUUGUUUCAUACUUAAAUAAUCUCAAACUUUUUCAACCUUCACACAAUACAUGAGCGUGAGCCAUGGAUAUAGCACUAUGGGUGGAAUAGAAUAUGAUGAUGGGGAUUGUGUGGAGAAGACAAAAAGGGAGAAAGUCUCACAUCAACUAGGCGUAUCAAUGGGCUAUGGAGAUGACCAUCAAUAGAUAUCGAUGUGAGCGAGUAGGGAUUGCCAUGCAACAGAUGCACUAGAGCUAUGAAUGCUCAACAAAAGAAAACUAGUGGGUGUGCAUCCAACUUGCUUGCUCACGAAGACCUAGGGUAUUUGCGGAAGCCCAUCGUAGGAAUAUACAAGCUAAGUUCUAUAAUGAAAAAUUCCCACUAGUAUAAAAAGACAACUUAUGAGACUCACUACAUGAAGAACAAGGUGCUACUUUGAAGCACAAUAUAUGAGACUCACUACAUGAAGAACAAGGUGCUACUUUGAAGCACAAGUGUGGAAAAAGAGAUAGUANNNNNNNNNNAUUGACGAGGCUAAUCAACGGGCUAUGGAGAUGCCCAUCAAUUGAUGUCAACAUGAGGAGUAGGGAUUGCCAUGCAACGGAUGCACUAGAGCUAUGAAUGCUCAACAAAAGAAAACUAGUGGGUGUGCAUCCAACUUGCUUGCUCACGAAGACCUAGGGCAUUUGAGGAAGCCCAUCGUAGGAAUAUACAAGCCAAGUCCUAUAAUUAAAAAUUCCCACUAGUAUAAAAAGACAACACAUGAGACUCUCUACAUGAAAAGCAUGGUGCUACUUUGAAGCACAAUAUAUGAGACUCACUACAUGAAGAACAAGGUGCUACUUUGAAGCACAAGUGUGGAAAAAGAGAUAGUAGCAUUGCCCUUUAUAUAUAUAUAUAUAUAUAUAUAUAUAUAUAUAUAUAUAUAUAUAUAUAUUAUUGCCUUUCUCUUUUUUUUAGUUGGGCAAUGCUCUAAUAACGAUGAUCAUCACACUUCUAUUGAUUACAACAUAAGGAUUACAACUCGAAACUUAGAACAAGAUAUGACUCUAUAUGAAUGCCUCCGGCGGUGUACCAGGAUGGNNNNNNNNNNNNNNNNNNNNNNNNNNNNNNNNNNNNNNNNNNNNNNNNNNNNNNNNNNNNNNNNNNNNNNNNUCUAAUAAUGAUGAUAAUCACACUUUCAUUACAACAUAAGAAUUACAACUCGAAACUAGAACAAGAUAUGACUCUAUAUGAAUGCCUCCGGCAGUGUAUCGGAAUGGUGCAAUGAAUCAAGAGUGACAUGUAUGAAAAAUAAUGCAUGGUGGCUUUGCCACAAAUACGAUAUCAACUACAAGAUCAUGCAAUGGCAAUAGACAACAGUAAUGCAUGUCACGAUGAUGAUGGUGGAAGUUGCAUGGCAAUAUAUCUCGGAAUGGCUAUGGAAAUGCCAUGAUAGGUAGGUAUGGUGGCUGUUUUGAGGAAGAUAAAAGGAGGUUUAUGUGUGAUAGAGCGUAUCGUAUCACGGGGUUUGGAUGCACCGGCGAAGUUUGCACCAACUCUCAAGGUGAGAAAGGGCAAUGCACGGUACCGAAGAGGCUAGCAAAGGCGGAAAGGUGAGAGUGCGUAUAAUCCAUGGACUCAACAUUAGUCAAAAGAACUCAUAUACUUAUUGCAAAAAUUUAGAAGUCAUCAAAAAUCAAGUACUACGCGCAUGCUCCUAGGGGGAUAGAUUGGUAGGAAAAGACCAUCGCUCGUCCCCGACCGCCACUCAUAAGGAUGCACAAGCUAGGUACACUUCAUGUUUCAAAUUUGUUAUAUAACUUUAACCAUACGUGCAUGCUACGGGAUUUGCUAACUUCAACAGAAGCAUUCUUUGAAUUCAUAAUCACCCAACUAGCACGACUUUGAUAUUAUCACCUCCAUAUCUCAAAACAAUUAUCAAGCAUCAAACUUAUCUUAGUAUUCAACGCACUCAAAAGAAAGUUUCACAUAUCUUGAAUACCAAGUAUAUUAACAUUAAGCAAAUUACCAUGCUAUUAAUGACUCUCAAAAUAAUCUAAGUGAUCAAGUUUCUUUAAAACAAAUCCACCACCGUGCUCUAAAAGAUCUAAGUGAAGCACUAGAGCAAAAAUUAUCACGCUCGAAAAGAUAUAAGUGAAACACUAUGAGCAAACUAUCAAGCUCAAAAGAUAUAAGUGAAGCACAUAGAGUAUUCUAACAAAUUUCAAUUCAUGUAUGGCUCUCUCAAAAGGUGUGUACAGCAAGGAUUAUUGUGGUAAACUAACAAGCAAAGACACAAAUAAUACAAGACGCUCCAAGCAAAACACAUAUCAUGUUGGUGAAUAAAAAUAUAGCUCCAAGUAAAUUACCGAUGGAAGUGGACGAAAGAGGGGAUGCCUUCCGGGGAAUCCCCAAGCUUUGAAUUUUUGGUGUCCUUGGAUUAUCUUGGGGGUGCCAUGGGCAUCCCCAAGCUUAGGCUCUUGCCACUCCUUGUUCCAUAAUCCAUCAAAAGAAUUCACCCAAAACUUGAAAACUUCACAACACAAAACUCAACAGAAAUCUCGUGAGCUCCGUUAGAGAAAGAAAACAAAAGACUACUUCAAGGUAAUGUAAUGAACUCAUUCUUUAUUUAUAGUGGUGUUAAACCUACUGUAUUCCAACUUCUCUAUGGUUUAUAAACUAAUUUACUAGCCAUAGAUUCAUCAAAAUAAGCAAACAACACACGAAAAACAGAAUCUGUCAAAAACAGAACAGUCUGUAGUAAUCUGUAACUAACGCAAACUUCUCGAACUCUAAAAAUUCUACCAAAAUAUUAAGUCCUGGAAAAUUUGUUUAUUGAUCAGCAGCAAAAAUAAUCAACGCAAAAGUACUCUCCAGUAAAAAAUGACAGCUAAUCUCGUGAGUGCUAAGGUUUCUGUUUUUCAGCAGAAUCAAAUCAACUAUCAUCGUAGGUUAUCCUAUAGGUCCUACUUGACACAAACGCUAAUUAAAACAUAAAACCACAUCCAAACAGAAGGUAGAUGGAUUAUUUAUUCCUAAACUGAAGCAAAAACAAAAGGCACAAAAUAAAAUUGGGUUGCCUCCCAACAAGCGUUAUCGUUUAACGCCCCUAGCUAGGCAUUGAGAUUAUGAUGAUGCUCACAUGAAAGACAAGAAUUGAAGCACAAAGAGAGCAUCAUAAAACAUGUGACAAACACACUUAAGUCUAACAUACUUCCUAUGCAUAGGCAUAUUAUAGGCAAACAAAUUUUCAACGCAAGCAAAAACUAGCAUAUGCAAGGAAGAAGAAGGCGACGAUAGCAAUCUCAACAUGAAGAGAGGUAAUUUAGUAACAUGAAAACUUCUACAACCAUAUUUUCCUCUCUCAUAAUAAUUACAUGUAGGAUCAUAAGCAAAUUCAACAAAAUAGCUAUCACAUAACAUAUUCUCAACACGAUCCACAUGCAUGUAAAAUUGACACUCUUCCAAAAUAGUGGGAUUAACAUUAACUAAAAUCAUGACUUCUCCAAACCCGCUUUUAUCCAAAUACCAUAAGAUUGAACAUUCUCAAAAUAUGUGGGAUCUAAAGUUGCUCUUCCAAACCCACUUUCAAUAGUAUUGCAAACGCUAUUAUCAAUCUCAUAUUCAUCAUGGGGGUUAAAUAAAUUUUCAAGACCAAAAGAAGAAUCACCCCAAUCAUGAUCAUUGCAACUAGUAGUCAUAGCAAAACUAGCAUCCCCAAGCUUAGGGUUUUGCAUAUUAUUAGCAUAAUUUAGAUUAAAAUAAUUUAUCAUAAAAUCAUUCCAAUCAUGCUUUUUAUUUAAAGAUCUAUCAUGAAGCACUUCAUCACAAUUUUCAGAUCUACGGGUUUUAGGAAAAAACUUAUAAAGAUAAUCUAGUGCAUCCAAAUCACUAGGAAUUGGUUCAUCAUAAUUGGAUCUCUUAAAAAGAUUGGCAAGCGGAUCAGGAUCAAUAGACUUUUAGCAAGCAAAGAUGCAAGCAAAAAGAAGGCACAAGCAAACAUAAGAUCGAACGGAAGAAGGGCGAAUAAAACGACAAGGGUGAAGUGGGGGAGAGGAAAAUGAGAGGCAAAUGGCAAAUAAUGUAAUGCGAGAGAUAGGGAUUGUGAUGGGUACUUGGUAUGUUGACUUUUGCGUAAGCUUCCCCGGCAACGGCGCCAGAAAUUCUUCUUGCUAUGUCUCGAGCUUGCGUUGGUUUUCCCCGAAGAGGAGAGGAUGAUGCAGCACAGUAGCAUAAGUAUUUCCCUCAGUUUUUGAGAACCAAGGUAUCAAUCCAGUAGGAGGUCACACGCAAGUCCCUCGUACCUGCACAACACGAUAGCAACUCGCAACCAACGCUUAGGGGUUGUCAAUCCUUUCACGGUCACUUACGAGAGUGAGAUCUGAUAGAGAUAAUAUUUUAGGUGUUUUUGAUAGAUAGAUGCAAAGUAAAAAAGUAAAGGCAAAGUAAAAAAAGCAAGUAAAUAAAGUGAUAUAGAUUGAUAUUAUGAGAAUAGACCCGGGGGCCAUAGGUUUCACUAGUGGCUUCUCUCAAGAGCAUAAGUAUUCUACGGUGGGUGAACAAAUUACUGUUGAGCAAUUGACAGAAUUGAGCAUAGUUAUGAGUACAUCUAGGCAAUGAUCAUGUAUAUAGGCAUCACAUCCGUGACAAGUAGAUCGAAACGAUUCUGCAUCACUACUAUUACUCCACUCAUCGACCGCUAUCCAACAUGCAUCUAGAGUAUUAAGUUAAAAACAGAGUAACGCCUUAAGCAAGAUGACAUGAUGUAGAGGGAUAAAUUCAUGCAAUAUGAUAAAAACCCCAUCUUGUUAUCCUCGAUGGCAACAAUACAAUACAUGCCUUGCAACUCUUUCUGUCACUGAGUAAGGACACCGCAAGAUUGAACCCAAAGCCAUGCACUUCUCCCAUUGCAAGAACUACCAAUCUAGUUGGCCAAACCAAACGGAUAAUUCGAAGAGACUUGCAAAUAUAACUCAAUCAUACGUAAAAGAAUUCAGAGAAGAAUCAAAUAUUUUCCAUAGAUAAUACUGGAUCAUAAACCCACAAUUCAUCGGGUCUCAACAAACACCACAAAAAGAAUAUUACAUCGAAUAGAUCUCCACGAGAGAGGGGGAGAACAUUGUAUUGAGAUCCAAAAAGAGAGAACAAGCCAUCUAGCUACUAGCUAUGGACUCGAAGGUCUGAAGUAAACUACUCACACUUCAUCGGAGGGGCUAUGGUGAUGAUGUAGAAGCCCUCCGUGGUGGAUGCCCCCUCUGGCGGAGCUCCGGAACAGGCCCCAAGAUGGGAUCUCGUGGAUACAGAAGGUUGCGGCGGUGGAAUUAGGUUUUUGGCUCCUCUUGGUCUAUUGGGGAUACGUAGGUAUAUAUAGGAGGAAGGAGUACGUCGGUGGAGCUCCGAGGGGCCCAUGAGGUAGGGGGCGCGCCCAGGGGGAGGGCGCGUCCUCCACCCUCGUGACUGCCUCGUAGGUUUCUUGACGGAGGGUCCAAGUCUCCUGGAUCUUAUCUGAUGAGUAAAUCACGUUCCCGAAGGUUUCAUUCCGUUUGGACUCCGUUUGAUAUUCUGUUUCUUCGAAAUACUGAAAAAGGCAAAAAAACAGCAAUUCUGGGCUGGGCCUCCGGUUAAUAGGUUAGUCCCAAAAAUAAUAUAAAAGUGAAAAAUAAAGCCCAUUAUAGUCCAAAACAGUAGAUAAAGUAGCAUGGAGCAAUCAAAAAUUAUAAAUACGUUGGAGACGUAUCACAAGCACCAUAUGAGAAAGGUGGCAUAGAAGCUAGUCCACUUCGUUUCGCAUAACAGGGGUUAGGAUAAGUAUAUGAAUAAGCAGAGAAAUUCUUCGAGGACUUAUGAACAUAAUUAUUAGAAGAAUAGUGCUCAUAUUCGUAGCCCUUAGCUCUACCCUGCGAAACAGAGAGGUUAGCCCGAUGAUGAUCAUAUGAGGACUUUGAUCCUUUUGAGAAAUUUGAUCCACGUGAAGAAUUUGGUCCAUAUGAAGAAUUUGAUCUGGAGUUCCUAUUCUUCAUAGGUGGUGUCAUGAGGACAUUCACCUGAAGACUUUCAAGCAACUUUUGGGAACCCAUAUUUUCUUCAUAGGGGAAUCGUUCCUGCAGUUAGUGCCAACAUAUCUAGCAAAUACUUCACCAUUCUGAUUCUUGAACAGUUUAUAGUUGGAGUCAAAUGACUCAUCAGAAGAAUGAGGAUAUUCACAUGUAAAGCUAGAUAAAUUGGAUGGAUCAACUGGAGGUCCCUUUGCAGCAACCCAUGAGGUUUUGGGGUACUACUCGGGCUUCCAAUAUGUUCCAUCAGCAUUGAGUUUCCUCUCAAAGGCAAUACCCUCUUUCCUAGGGUUCCUGUUAAGGAUCUGCUUUUUAAGCACAUCACAAAGAGUUUGAUGCCCUUUGAGGCUUUUGUACAAGCCUGUCAUGUACAAUUCCUUCAGCCCUGCAUCAUCAGUGAUACUAGCAAUGUCCUCAGAUAAGGAAUUAGUGAUAGCAGAGACAGGUGAAGAAUUUGUGGCAUUAGAAGCAUUUGAACAUUCAGGUGAAGAAUUAGUAGAUUCACGUUCAAUGCACUUCAGACAUGGAGGAACAAAUUCUUCCUGAGUAACGCUGAUUUGUUGAGCAAAUAAUGAAUCGCGCUCCUUCUGAAGAUCUUCAUAAUCCACUCUUAGCUUCUCCAGAUCUUGCUUUCUUUGAAGAAAUUCAUAAGAAAGCUUCUCGUGAUCAGAUAAGAGAGUGUUAUGAUGACCUUGAAGGGUGUCAAACUUGGACUGAAGUCUCUGAAGACUCUCAGUCAAAGCUUUUUACUAAUCCAUUUCUUCACCCAACAUAUCAUCGCUCUUAUGUUGCAUGUAUUGAACUUUUUCCAAAGCUCUUUGUUGUUUAGUGGCAAGGGAAGCAAGUUUGACAUAGCUGGGUCCAAAUUCAUCUCCAGAUUCAUCAUCACUGGACUCGGAUAGGUAGCACUCGGUUACCUGCCAUAAGGCAUGGUGAAGAAGAUGAUGAUUCUGGUUCGAAUGUCAUCGCAUUGAGAGAUUCCUUGUAAUCUUCAAACUAAGGAUCAUGACAAGUUCAAUGACCUUCAUAGACCUCAGAGAGCCGGUCCCAGAUUAGCUUCGCGUGAUUGCGAUGCAUGACGGUCCUGAACUGAUUUUGGGACAAGCAGAUGACAUCCUUCGCUGUGAGGUUGAGUAGAGUGUACUUGCAAAUGUCAUCAGCCUCCGCCAUCUUGCAUAGAUCGGUAAGACCAAUCUCAGUGACGGUCCACAGUUCGCAGUCCAUAGCCAUGAGUCACUUCUUCAUCAUGGCCUUCCACCGAGGAUACUCAUGACCAUCAAAGAUGGGGCAGGAUACAUUCCUCAUUCCUGCAGUCGACAUAACUAAAACUCCAGGCGGUUAAACCAAAAUCACACAGAACAAGGGAGAACCUUGCUCUGAUACCAAUUGAAAGUGCGUUAUAUCGACUAGAGGGGGGUGAAUAGGAGAUUUUUAUGGAUUCUUCACUGAGGAAUUUGUUGGUGAGGAAAUUCCUAAAUGAAGAACUACUUGCAGCGAAAUAAGUACUCAAAAGUAAACACAGUAGAACACAAGCAUAGUCAUCAUGAUGAAAUGAAGACAAGCACAGAGUACAGAAAGCAUAAGCACAGGAUAACACAGGAUGAAGACGGACAGACUGAAGAAAUUGAACCUAGGAAAUUGAGAAAAGUCUUCAGUCAAAGUCUUCAAACAGAUAUGAACAAGCACACAACAACAGAAAUGAGGAAAUGGAAGAGUUGAGGAAAUAGAACCAGUAAGCUUGGUGAAGACAAUGAUUUGGUAGACCAGUUCCAACUGUUAUCUCAGUUGUAUGUCUGGUUGGAGCGGCUGAGUAUUUAAACUCGAGGACACACACUCCUAGACACACAGUCCUCACUGUAUUCUCCUUGAGCUAAGGCCACACAGACCUCGCCCAAUCACUCGUGGUAUGUCUUCAGGUGACUUCCAAACCUUCACAGACCAGGUCACUUGGUGAUCCACAAUUCCUCUUGGAUUCUCUAGACCAUGACGCCUAAUCGUCUGGAAGAAGCAUAGUCUUCAAAGGUAACAAGUGUCGGAUCCAUGCAGGAUCAAUCUCUUCGGUGAUUCUCAAUGUACUUUGGGUUGUAGGUGUGUUGGGUUUGGGUUUUCCUCACUUGAUGAUUUUCGCUCAAAGUCCUCGGAGGAUGGGAUGCUCUCAAAUGACAAGUGUCAGUUUCUCUCGGAGCAGCCAACCAGCUAGUGGUUGUAGGGGCGGCUAUUUAUAGCCUAGGGAGCAGCCCGACAUGAUAAGACAUAAAUGCCCUUCAAUGAUAUGACCAUUAGGUGGAUAGAUAUUUGCGGACAGCUGGCGCAUAGCAUAGAAAUGGUCGGAAUUUUGAUUCUUAAAUUCCUCAGGGCUAUCAUGUUCCUCGCUGUGUAGGCAAUCCGCACUAGCGAAUUCCUAACUCCUCAGUCAGAACAAAUUCCUCAUUGAGCAGAAGAAUUCGUCUCUGUCACAGCAGAAUAUGGCUGAACUAUAUGAGAUUUCCAAUGGAUUAUCUCGAAGGGAUUGGUAUGUGUAGGAUUUUGAGUUGAGCAUCACAUGGAAAUUUUUCCUUAGUGUUUCCUCGACCCCCUUUAACAGUAUGGUGUUUCCUAUGACUCAAUAAGGAGAAAAUGAAACUACGAAAACAAAAUUCUUCAUGCUUCAUGUUCCUCGAAUGAUUGCCAAGUCUUCAAGGUCACACCCAAUUUCUUCACUUUCAAAGUCUUUAGAAAGUCUUCAGAAAUCCAAAGUCUUCAGUUGAAGAACUUCAUUUUUAGAGGUCGACUUUCUCUGUAAAUAUCAAACUCCUCAUAGACUUAUAGACCUAUGUACACUCACAAACGCAUCAAUCCCUUAACCUAUAAGUCUUCAAUACACCAAAAUCACUAAGGGGCACUAGAUGCACUUACAAUCUCCCCCUUUUUGGUGAUUGAUGACAAUAUAGGUUAAGUUUUCAAUGGGGAUAAACAUAUGAAGUGUAAAUACUAAUGUUGAGGAAUUUGAUUGCAAGAUAUAGAAGAACUCCCCCUGAAGAUGUGCAUAUUGAGGAAUUUGCUUUUGAAGCAAUGCACACCUGAAAAGUAUAAUCAUGGAGAUCUCCCCCCUAUAUCUUGUAAUCCAUACACGCAUUUGACAUAUAUUAUGAAGAAUUUGAAAUGCAUGAUGAAAUAUGGUGACUGAUGCAAUUCAGCAUGCGUGCAUAGACAUUAAUGAGGAAUAAGCAUGCAGAAGAACUCAGCAAAAGUAUCAGGCCACCAUAGAGUUUAAGAUUACAACUCGAUCCAGCAAAGUCAUCAAAAGAACGAGAGUUGUAACUUAGAAAAAAACGCCCAUAUAAGAUAGACCCGCUUGAAGACUAACUCAAAUUUCUCCCUCUUUGUCAUCGAAUGAGCAAAAGGGUUGAAAAUGAGGACUAACGCCCCUGAAGAAUAUCAUGAUGAUGGAGGAGCGCCAACGUUGUUGGGGUCUUGUGUCGUUGUAGGGCCUGUUGCAGUGUCGUCCAAGUCUUCAUACUCGUCCGUGUCGCGUGAUGAAGAGUAUGAACUGGGGACCAAGGAAGGAACCUUGACCUUCUUGCAUUUCUUCGAUGGAGGAGGAGACCAGUCAAAAUCUUCCUUGAAACCCAUUUGCUUCAAAUCUUCUUCACAAUAUAGAUGUGACAGAAUAGCCUAGGUGUGAUCCAAGACUUCAUGGAGGUAGUAAUGGUUUUUCUUCACUGCAUUAUGUGUAGAAGUCAUGUUGUGAAAAAUAGAUCCAAACUGACGCUUAACCUAUUUGUGGUUUUGAUCCACCUUCUGGUGAAGACUAAGAAGCAGCUCUCGGUUAGUCAUCACACGAGGAGCAGUGGCUUGAGGAUUUGGCUUGGAUGCAUUGGCAGCAGAAUCAUGAGUGGCAGAGUCAUCAUUGGUGGAAUAAGAUGCAGCUUUGCGGAACUGACCAUCCAAUGGACGAAUACCUUCAUCGAUAACAGCUGGUGCCUUGCCCUUCUUAUCAGCCGAGGAAUAUGUCCGCUUGAGGACUUCAAUCGGGGGCAAGUAGCUGAGGUGAUUCUGAAAGUCAGCUUUGUAGUUGAGUGAAGACCUUGUUCUGAGGAGUCUCAUGAUCCAAGGAGCAUAAGGCUUCAGCUCAAACGGAGAAAGUGCAACAUUUGCCAGAGUCCUCAUGAAGAAAUCAUGAUAGUUGACAGGGAUGCCAUGCAUGAUGUUGAAUAGCAUAUUCUUCAUGAUGCCAAUAAUUUCCUCAUCAGAUAAGUCGUGGCCUUUGAUAGGACUCAUAGUCUUCAUCAGAAUGCGAUAGACGGUUCUUGGCACAUACAACAAUUCCUUCACGAGGAAUUUUGUCCUUGGGGCUUGACCAGGCUUCAGAGGCUUCAUGAGCACUUGCAUGUAAUGAGCAGUGAGUUCAGGCUCUUGGUACAGACAAUGAGUACCUUCAGGUGGAGGACUGAUUGGCAGGGCAUGAAGUAAUUCAGAGGCCGGUGCCUUGUAAUGAGUGUUUUUGGUCAUCCAGUCCAACACCCAAGUGUUGAUAUCAUCAGCAUCACCUGUGAUGUGCAGUGUUGCGUAGAACUGAAGAAUACGCUCUUCAUUCCAAUCAACUAUGUCAGAGCAAAAGUUGAGCAGUCCUACAUCAUGAAGCAUACUGAGGACUUGAGAGAAGAAAGGCAUUCAUUCCAUGUCCACGUGAGGAAUAUGCUCGUGAUCGAAGACUUUGUCCUUGUUGAAAAGCAGUGAAGAAUAGAAAUUGGCCUGGCUGGCAGUCCAGAAACGCUUCCUUCUAAGACGAGCAUUGUCAUAAGGGUUGAAUUCAGUGAAGAAAACAUGCUCGCCGAAGAAUUCAUCAACCUUGAAUUUCUGCUUCUUUGAGAAGGGAUCCUUUGGCUUGGGCUGAGGAGUAUCAGUCAAAUGCAUCACCACCUCAGGAAUCACAAUCUCAGGAUCCACAUACUGAGGAAUUUUAGGCUCUUCUUCAGCUGCAGCCUGGGUCUUCAAUUCUUCAUUUACAUUUUGUUCAGCACUAGUGGCUGGAAUUUCUUCAUGGACAGACGGGGAUGCAUGUGGUUCUUCAGAUCCCAUUUGUACUUCAGUAGCAGCAGGGGACUGAGGAAUUUCUUGAAGUGGAGUGAACAUCGGAGAGUUGGGGUGCUAACUUUCCCAAAAGUCAUCAUUCAGCACAGGUGUGGUACAACCAAUGUCCACAUCCUCAUCUUCCAUUUCUUCAAUGUCGGCCUCUUCAGCAGUGAACUGAGGCAUAGGCGAGGAGACAACUGGUGUUGAAGGGAUUGUAUCCACUUCAAUUUCUUCAUCCAACUGCUCUGACGAAGCAGCAGAAGGAUUCUCUUCAUCGGAUUCGCUUGGAAUCACAUAAUCUCCACCAAAAGGAUCAAGGUCCUUUGAUGGCAUGAAGGAGAUAGGAAUAGCAUCAAUUGGGUUGUUAAUAGAGCUUGUCAAAGUCUUCAUCCUCUUCGGAGCUGAAGAAUCUGAUGAAGUUGAUGCCUUCCUUUUCUUCACAGCUGCAUGCUCUGCAGCCUUGGUCUUCUUCGCAUCUGAUGCAGAUGGAAGUAUCGGAGUUGGUGUAGGCAUAGGAGGAGCAGAGGAAUUUGGUUCAGUUUCUUCAGGCGCAACUGAUAUAGUUACCCUGACUUCUUCACUUUCUUCAGGCGCACCACUAGUGGAUGCCCUGGCAAUUUCUUCAGCGGCUGGAAUGCAGUCAUCAGCCCUGGUACUUUUAAUUUUCUUCAGCAGCCUAAUUGUCAUCAGCGGUGCUGGCAUGUUCUUCAGUGGGCUGAGCAGAUGCUUCAGCCGGAGUGACUUCAAUGUGCACAGGUGCAGCAACACUUGAAGUGAAUUUCUUCGUCAGCUUGACGAACCGGACCCUAGCGCCCUUCCAAUCAGCAUAGUAGCGAUUGAAUUCAUCACUCAGUUGCUUGAUCUCAGCUUGCAAGGCAACGAGUUGAUCAGGGGUAAGAGUGAGGACAUUGUGCUUUAGGUAGUGCUGCUUCUUCUACUGCGCUUUCUUCAGUCUUCUUCCUUCUUCAAAUUUCCACUUCUCUUCUUCAAUAAAGGCAAUCAAAACAUGACUUUGACCAGGAGUGAGGUUCAUCUCUGGCAAAGGCGUGUUUGGGUCCUUGUGCCAUAGAUCAAUGAAGUCUAGGAUCAACUUUGGAUCCAAUAACAGUGGCACAUUGCUGCCUUUGGCUCUAGCGGCCCUGGCCUGCCUGUCUCUGAUGAUUUCGGCAAGUUCUUUAUCAUCGGCCUCAUCAUCAGAAGGCACUUGAAAGGCGACCUACUUCUUAUGAGGACUUGGUCGAGGGCCUCGUCCAGCAGUGGCCUUUUUCUUCAGCAGAGAGGGGCCAGUUGAGGAAUUUGGUGCAGCUGAGGAACUCGCAGAAGCUCCUGAGGCAAUUGAGAUGCAUGUAGUCCUUUGGCACGUGGCGAGAUGCACAGGUGCAGAGGAUUUAGUCGGAGCAGCUGAAGACUUUGUCGGAGGAGCUGAGGACUUUGAAGGAGGAGCAGAUUGAGGAAUUGGCCGUGAGGGCAUUGAGGGUGAAGCACUUGGCUUGUGAGCAGGCUUAUUAUCCAUGGCCUUCUUCGGCUUGCUAGCAGAGGCCUCAGCAGCGGCAGCAGCAGCAGUAGAGUCUUCAUUAAAUUUUCUCACUACUUCCUUUGCUUGUUUGGCCAGUUUGGCCUCGCACUUUGCCCAUUCAUCAGGAUAAUCCUCACCGCGCUUGAGGCUAGUGGGAUCUGCCAAUUGGCCUUGUGCCAAUGGAGGUCUUGGGCAUGGAGGGUUGAGUGCGAAUUUCUUCAUAUACUUGGGAGUGACUUCUAUAGUCCCUCCAUUCCCAUGCCCAUCUCUUCUCAAUCUUUUGAAUGCGCACCUUGCGCUGAUUUUUAUCUUCCUCAGGGGUGUGCAGUAUCCAGCAUAAAUGUCAUCAGGGAUUUCAAAUGUUGUGUUGACCUCAGGCCUCUUUACACCCUUUCGUGGCUUCUUACCGUCAGCCAUUUUCUUCAGCUGAUGAAUAUGAACAACUGAAGUUUCUGAAGAGGUGUGCAACUUCUCCUUGAUGAAGAACAUGACGAACUGGGAAGUGUAGAUGUGAAGUUUGUCAGUUUAGAUCUUCCACACCCUAACUCAGCAGAGGAAGACAGCUACGGCGGCGGCGGAGUGAAGAAAUCCGCAACCGGCGCGAGUACGACGGCGACGAGGUCGAGGCAGUGAAGCUCUUCCUCACCGGCGAUGAUGAAGUAGCAGCGGCGCUAGAGUUUGAGAAACUCGAGCGGGAGUGAGAACGAGCGGAGUAAAAACGAAGUGAGGAAGAGGCGGGGGUAUUUAUAGUGGGAGUGAAAAAACUGUACGCCUGACGAAAUCGGACGAACGUGCCACUAGCCCUUCUCAUUCGCUUGACAUGUGUCCCCCACGUACUGAGAGGUGGCGAUCGUGUAAGAUCAUGGGUGAAUAGAUAAGUAUUGUCGUGGGAUGCGGAACGGUUUGAGCGGCAAAGCCGAAAAUUUAGAUAAGAUAAGUUAAAAGUACCGUUCGCAAUUUCUUCAGCUGUCAAGGACACAGUGAAGAUUUUAAACGAGUUUCAAAAUAGAACGCACAUGAAGAAUGUGUGAACAGACUGGGUUGAGUUUAUCAUAGAGGGGGAAGGGUCCGAUCACAUUCACUUAGCAGAAGAAAUCAACUUGAAGAAUCAACAAUAAGUGAAUGCCGUAGAGGACAUAAACUCAUAUAUAUAUUCAAAUGAAGAACAACACUGGAAGGAGUGUAGACAAUGCAAAGUUGAAGAAUUUGAAAAACUGAGGAAUUUCAAAAAACGAAGAAAAACUCAAAUUGAAGAUUUUCAACUUUGGUUGGUGGCGUAACCCACCGUAUAAGAAAGCUGAUUUCAGACACCGCGUACAAUUGUCGUAGGGCUCUGAGAAUCAAUUUCUUCAUUAAUUUCUUCACACUUAGAGGGUUAGUCUUCAUUGCUUGAAGAAAAACGUUACUUUGUGUGUUGAGCAUCUAAGUCAUCAAGUCGGCAUAAGUGUUAGGAUGUGUGUCCUUUUCAGAGAACAUUCAAAGAUUCUAGGAUAUUUAGCUCACACCGCAACUUGCUAAAUCUCUUCUAAUCCAAGGGCUUAGUGAAGAUAUCGGCUAGCUGGUCUUCAGUUUUUGCGUGGUCGAUGGAGAUGUCGCCCUUCAACACAUGAUCACGAAGAAAAUGAUGACGAAUCUGGAUGUGCUUGGUCUUCGAGUGAUGAACUGGGUUAUGAGCAAUCUUGAUAGCGCUCUCAUUGUCGCAAUAGAGAGGCACAUUCGUCACGUUGAUGCCAUAGUCCUUGAGUGUUUGAUCCAUCCAUAGUAAUUGAGCACAACACGAUCCAGCAGCAAUGUACUCAGCUUCUGCAGUGGAGAGUGAUACGCAAUUCUGUUUCUUCGAGGACCAACAAACCAAAGAUCGUCCAAGGAAAUGGCAUGUGCCUGACGUUGACUUGCGGUCCACACGAUCACCAGCAUAGUCAGAGUAAGAAUAUCCAAUGAGAUCAAAUGAGGAGCCCUUGGGAUACCAUAAUCCAAGUGUUGGUGUGUGAGCUAGAUAUCGAAGAAUAUGCUUCACAGCCUUAUGGUGGGAUUCCUUUGGUUUAGCUUGAAAUCGGGCACACAUGCAAACACUAAGCAUAAUAUCCGGCCUAGAUGCACAUAGGUACAAUAAAGAGCCAAUCAUGGAACAGUAUAGCUUUUGAUCAAAGUCUUUACCAUUUUCAUCAGUGCAUAGAUGGCCAUUUGUGGGCAUUGGAAUUUUGACCCCUUUGCAAUCUUGCAUGUCGAAUUUCCUCAAUACAUCCUUGAGGUAUUUCUCCUGAGAUAUGAAUAUGCCAUUGCACUCUUGACGAAUUUGAAGACCUAAAAAGAAUUUCAAUUCUCCCAUCAUAGACAUUUGAUAUUCUUCACUCAUCAUAUAGGGAAAUUCAUCACUGUAACGUUGGUCAGUACAGCCAAAAAUGAUAUCAUCAACAUAAAUUUGGCACACAAACAAUUCACCAUCAUAAGAUUUAGUGAAAAGAGUUGGGUCAAGUGAACCGGGUUUGAAGCCUUUCUUCAUGAGGAAUUCCUUCAAAGUAUCAUACCACGCCCGAGGGGCCUGCUUGAGGUCAUACAGGGCCUUAUUGAGUCUGAAGACUUUGUCAGGAUGCUUUGGAUCUUCAAAACCCGGGGGUUGAGCAACAUAUACUUCUUCCUCAAGCUUACCAUUGAGGAAAGCACUUUUCACAUCCAUUUGUUGUAAUAUAAUAUCAUGAUGGUUAGCCUCAAGUCUAGCAACAGGUGCAAAAGUUUCAUCGAAGUCAAUUCCUUCAACCUGUGUGUAGCCUUGAGCUACAAGUCGUGCCUUAUUCCUCACCACAAGGCCAUUUUCAUCUUGCUUGUUGCAGUAGAUCCACUUUGUGCCAAUGAUGUUGUGCUUGCGAGGAUCUGGAUGUUUGACCAGUUCCCAGACGUUGUUGAUCUUGAACUGGUGUAAUUCUUCUUGCAUAGCGUGAAUCCACUCAGGCUCCAGAAAUGCUUCAUCUACCUUAGUGGGCUCUGUGAUAGAGAAAAGCAAAAUGCCCACAAAAGUUAGACAAAUGUGAAGCUUUUGAGCAUGUGAGAGGACCUGGUGCUUCAAUGUCAUCGAUGAUCUUCUCGACUUGCACUUUGUUUGCAAUGCGAGGAUGAGCGGGUUGUCUUCGAGGAAUUUGAUCCGCAUUUUCUUCAGGAGCAUUUUCCUCAGCACCAUUUUCUUCAGGUGCGCCAGCUCGACGUUCUUCACGUUCUGGAAUGAAUUCUUCAGUAGAUUCUUCGAUAGGAAUGACAUCCUCAGUAGCAUUGAACUUGAUAGAUUCCUCAGGUGUUGGUUCAUCUAACACAGUAGGUAGGUGCUCUUUUUGUGAGCCAUUAGUUUCAUCGAACCGCACAUCUACAGUUUCAACAACCUUGUGGAGAACGUUGUUGAAGACUUUGUAGGUGUGCGAGUCCUUUCCGUAACCAAGCAUAAAACCCUCAUGUGCUUUCGGUGCAAAUUUAGAAUUGUGAUGAGGAUCUCUAAUCCAACAUUUAGCACCGAAGACUUUGAAGUAACUCACAUUGGUUUUCUUGUCAGUGAGGAGUUCAUAAGCAGUCUUCUUGAAGAAUUUGUGAAGAUAUACUCUGUUGAUGAUGUGGCACGUAGUAUCAAUUGCCUCAAUCCAGAAACGACGAGGCGUCUUGUAUUCUUCAAGCAUAGUGCGAGCCAUCUCAGCAAGAGUUAUGUUCUUGCGCUCCACGACGCCAUUCUGCUGAGGAGUAUAAGGAGCAGAUAACUCAUGAGUAAUACCAAGUUCAUCAAGAUAGUCAUCAAGACCGGAAUUCUUGAACUCAAUCCCAUUGUCACUUCUGAUGUGCUUGAUCUUCACACCAAAGUUGGUUCAAGCCCUCAAGGAAAAUCGUUUGAAUACUUCUUGCUCCUCAUGUUUGUAAGUGACAAUGUGCACCCAUGUGUAACGAGAAUAAUCAUCAACAAUAACAAAGCCAUAUAGAGAUGCAUAAUUUGUAACAGCGGAAUGAUGAUUAGGACCAAGGAGAUCCAUGUGAAGUUAUUCAAAUGGUCGAGUGGUAGUCAUGAUAGUCUUUGCUGGAUGCUUGGCCUUUGUCAUCUUUCCAGCUUCACAGGCUCCGCAUAAGUGAUCCUUGAGGAAUUUGACAUUCUCAAUGCCAAUGACAUGCUUCUUCUUCGCAAGCUGGUGCAAAUUCCUCAUGCCAGCAUGACCAAGUCAUCGAUGACAUAGCCAGCCUUCUGAGGCUUUUGCAAGUACGCAUACGGUCGGUUGUGGUCCUGUAGAGAAAUCAACAAUGUACAAGUCUCCUCUCCUAAAGCCUUCGAAGACUUUGGAAUUGUCAGCUUCCAUGAUCACAACACAACGAUAUUUGCCAAAGACAACAACCAUAUCAAGAUCACAAAGCAUUGAGACAGACAUGAGGUUGUAUCCUAAGGACUCGACAAGCAUGACUUUGUCCAUGUGUCGAUCCUUUGAGAUCGCAACCUUAACUAGACCCAAUACCUAACUUUUGGCUUUGUCAGCGAAGAUGAUAUGCUUCAGAUGCGAUGGUGAUAAAGGAGCAUCCAUCAAUAGAUUCUUGUCACCAGUCAUGUGAUUCGUACAUCCACUAUCGAGGACCCACUCAUUUGCUUUGGGUUGAUCAUCCGGCAUAUGAAUUAGUGCAACUUACGAACUCAUAUACUUCAUUAGUGAAGAAUAUGACAUCAAUAUCAUCAGAUCAAUUUCAUCAAGCAGAAGAACAGAUAAAACAGUAUGAGGACGUGAGAAAUGAAAGUUCAUUUCUUCAUGAUUAGCCUGCGUCCUUUCAGGCAAUCUUCAGGUAUCCAGCAAAUUCUUGAGAUGUUUCAAGCACGUCUGGAGAUCUACACCUGCAUAAGAGAUUAGUUCUUUUUCUUCACCGCCCACAUCUGAAGGGGUGGCAAAGAAUUCAUCACUCUGCGAACACCAUAUGAGAAAGGUGGCAUAGAAGCUAGUCCACUUCGUUUCACAUAAGAGGGGUUAGGAUAAGCAUAUGAAUAAGCAGAGAAAUUCUUCGAGGGCUUAUGAACAUAAUGAUUAGAAUAAUAAUGAUCAUAUUCAUAGCCCUUAGCUCUACCCUGCGAAACAGAGGGGUUAGCCCAAUGAUGAUCAUAUGAGGACUUUGAUCCUUUUGAGAAAUUUGAUCCACGUGAAGAAUUUGGUCCAUAUGAAGAAUUUGAUCUGGAGUUCCUAUUAUUCACAUGUGGUGUCAUGAGGACAUUCACCUGAAGACUUUCAAGGCAACUUUUGGGAACCCAGAUUUUCUUCAUAGGGGAAUCAUUCCUGCAAUUAGUGCCAACAUAUCUAGCAAAUACUUCACCAUUUUGAUUCUUGAAUAGUUUAUAGUUGGAGUCAAAUGACUCAUCAGAAGAAUGAGGAUAUUCACAUGUAAAGCUAGAUAAAUUGGAUGGAUCAACUGGAGGUCCCUUUGCAGCAACCCAUGAGGUUUUGGGGUACUGCUCGGGCUUCCAAUAUGUUCCAUCAGCAUUGAGUUUCCUCUCAAAGGCAAUACCCUCUUUCCUAGGGUUCUUGUUGAGGAUCUGCUUUUUAAGCACAUCACAAAGAGUCUGAUGCCCUUUGAGGCUUUUGUACAUGCUUGUGAUGUACAAUUCCUUCAGCCCUGCAUCAUCAGUGAUACUAGCAAUGUCCUCAGAUGAGGAAUUAGUGAUAGCAGAGACAGGUGAAGAAUUUGUAGCAUUAGAAGCAUUUGAACAUUCAGGUGAAGAAUUAGCAGUUUCACGUUCAAUGCACUUCAGACAUGGAGGAACAAAUUCUUCCUGAGUAGCGCUGAUUUGUUGAGCAAGUAAUGAGUCGUGCUCCUUCUAAAGAUCUUCAUAAUCCACUCUCAGUUUCUCAAGAUCUUGCUUUCUUUGAAGAAAUUCAUAAGAAAGCUUCUCGUGAUUAGAUAAGAGAGUGUUAUGAUGACCUUGAAGGGUGUCAAACUUGGACUGAAGUCUCUGAGGACUCUCAGCCAAAGCUUUUGACUGAUCCAUUUCUUCACCCAACAUAUCAUCGCUCUUAUUUAGCAUGUAUUGAACUUUUUCCAAAGCUCUUUGUUGUUUAGUGCCAAGGGAAGCAAGUUUGACAUAGCUGGGUCCAAAUUCAUCUCCAGAUUCAUCAUCACUGGACUCGGAUAGGUAGCAUUCGGUUACCUUAGCACUUUUUGCCAUAAGGCAUGGUGAAGAAGAUGAUGAUUCUGGUUCGAAUUUCAUCGUAUUGAGAGAUUCCUUGUAAUCUUCAAACUAAGGAUCAUGACGAGUUCGAUGACCUUCAUAGACCUCAAAGAGUCGGUCCCAAAUUAGCUUCGCGUGAUUGAGAUGCAUGACGUUCCUGAACUGAUUUUGGGACAAACAGAAGCAGAUGACAUCCUUCGCUGUGAGGUUGAGUAGAGUGUACUUGCGAAUGUCAUCAGCCUCUGCCAUCUUGCAUAGAUCGGUAAGACCAAUCUCAGUGACAGUCCACAGUUCGCUGUCCAUAGCCAUGAGUAGCUUCUUCAUCAAGGCCUUCCACCGAGGAUACUCAUGACCGUCAAAGAUGGGGCAGGAUAAAUUCCUCAUUCCUGCAGUCGACAUAACUAAAACUCCAGGCGGUUAAACCAAAAUCACACAGAACAAGGGAGAACCUUGCUCUGAUACCAAUUGAAAGUGUGUUAUAUCGACUAGAGGGUGGGUGAAUAGGCGAUUUUUAUGGAUUCUUCACUGAGGAAUUUGCUGGUGAGGAAAUUCCUAAAUGAAGAACUACUUGCAGCGGAAUAAGUACUCAAAAGUAAACAUAGCAGAACACAAGCAUAGUCAUCAUGAUGAAAUGAAGACAAGCACAGAGGACAGAAAGCGUAAGCACAGGAUAACACAGGAUGAAGACGGAUAGACUGAGGAAAUUGAACCGAGGAAAUUGAGAAAAGUCUUCAGUCAAAGUCUUCAAACAGAUAUGAACAAGCACACAACAACAGAAAUGAGGAAUUGAAAGAGUUGAGGAAAUAGAACCAGUAAGCUUGGUGAAGACAAUGAUUUGGUAGACCAGUUCCAACUGCUGUCUCAGUUGUACAUCUGGUUGGAGCGGCUGAGUAUUUAAACUCAAGGACAUACAGUCCCUGACACACAGUCCUCACCGUAUUCUCCUUGAGCUAAGGUCACACAGACCUCGCCCAAUCACUCGUGGUAAGUCUUUAGGUGACUUCCAAACCUUCACAGACUAGGUCACUCAGCGAUCCACAAUUCCUCUUGGAUGCUCUAGACCAUGAUGCCUAACCGUCUGGAAGAAGCACAGUCUUCAAAGGUAACAAGCGUCGGAUCCACGCAAGAUCAAUCUCUUCAGUGAUGCUCAAUGACUUUGGGUUGUAGGUGUGUUGGGUUUGGGUUUUCCUCACUUGAUGAUUUUCGCUCAAAGUCCUCGAAGGAUGGUAUGCUCUAAAAUGACAAGUGUCAGUUUCUCUCGGAGCAGCCAACCAGCUAGUGGUUGUAGGGGGCGGCUAUUUAUAGCCUAGGGAGCAGCCCGACAUGAUAAGACAUAAAUGCCCUUCAAUGAUAUGACCGUUAGGUGGGUAGAUAUUCUGGGACAGCUGGCGCAUAGCAUAGCAACGGUCGGAAUUUUGAUUCUUAAAUUCCUCAGGGCUAUCAUGUUCCUCACUAUGUAGGCAAUCCGCACUGGCAAAUUCCUAACUCCUCAGUCAGAAUAAAUUCCUCAGAGACCAGAAGAACUUCAUCUCUGUCACUGAAGAAAAUGACUGAACUGUAUGAGAUCUCCAAUGGCUUCACUCGAAGGGAUUGGUAGGUGUAGGAUUUUGAGUUGAGCAUCAUAUGGAAAUUUUUCCUUCGUAUUUCCUCGGCCCCCUUUAACAGUACGGUGUUUCAUAUGACUCAAGAAAGAGAAAAUGAAACUACGCAAACAAAAGUCUUCACGCUUCAUGUUCCUCGAAUGAUUGCCAAGUCUUCAAGGUCACACCCAAUUUCUUCACUUUCAAAGUCUUCAGAAAGUCUCCAGAAAUCCAAAGUCUUCAGUUUAAGAACUUCAUUUUUAGGGGUCGACUUUCUCUGUAAAUAUCAAACUCCUCAUAGACUUAUAGACCUGUGUACACUCACAAAUGCAUCAGUCCCUUAACCUAUAAGUCUUCAAUACACCAAAAUCACUAAGGGGCACUAGAUGCACUUACACAUUCUUUAUUCAUAUUGGUGUAAUAUCUACUGUAUUCCAACUUCUCUAUUGUUCAUAUCCUCCGAUACUACUCAUAAAUUCAUUAAAAUAAGCAAACAACACAUAGAAAACAGAAUCUAUCAAAAACAGAACAAUCUGUAUUAAUCUGCAACUCUCGAAUACUUUUGUAACUCCAAAAGUUCUAAAUUAAAUUGGUGGACAUGAGGAAAUUUUUCUAGUAAUAUUCUGCAAAAGUAAUAAACUUAAAAGCACUCUUUUGUAAUAAAUGCCAGCUAAUCUCGUGAGCGCAAAGUUUCUGUUUUUUACAGCAAGAUCACAUUAACUUUCACCCAAGUCUUCCCAAAGGUUCUACUUGGCAUGUUAUUGAAACAAAAGCUAUAAAAUAUUAUUACUACAGUAGCUUAAUCAUGUGUACACACAAAAACAGUAGGGGUAAAUACUGGGUUUUCUCCCAACAAGCGCUUUCCUUUAAUGCCUUUUUAGCUAGGCAUGAUGAUGACAAUGAUGCUCACAUAGAAGAUGAGAAUUGAAACAUAACGGGAGCAUCGUUAAGCAUAUGUCUAGCACAUUUAAGUCUAACCCGCUCCCUAUGCAUAGGGAUUUUGUGAGCAAACAACUUGUGGGAACAAGAACCAACUAGCAUAGGAAAGCAAAACAAGCAUAGCUUCAAGAUUUUCAACACAUAGAGAGGAAACUUGAUAUUAUUGCAAUUCCUACAAGCAUAUAAUCCUGCCUCAUAAUAAUUUUCAGUAGCAUCAUGAAUGAAUUCAACAAUAUAACCAUCACAUAAAUCAUUCUUUUCAUGAUCUGCAACCGUACAAAUUUUAUUACUCUCCACAUAAGCAAAUUUCUUCUCAUGAAUAGUAGUCGGAGCAAACUCAACAAAUAUCAUGUGAGGCAUAAUCCAAUUGAAAAUUAAAAUCAUGAUGACAAGAUUCAUGGUUAUCAUUAUUCUUUAUAGCAUGCAUGUUAUCACAAUAAUCAUCAUAUAUAGCAACUUUGUUCUCAUAAUCAAUUGGAACCUCUUCCGAAAUAGUAGAUUCAUCACUAAAUAAAGUCAUGACCUCUCCAAGUCCACUUUAAUCAAUAUAAUCAUCAUAGAUAGGAGGCAUGCUUUCAUCAUAAUAAAUUUGCUCAUCAAAACUUGGGGGACAAAAAAUAUCAUCUUCAUCAAACAUACCUUCCCCAAGCUUGUGGCUUUGCAUAUCAUUAGCAUCAUGGAUAUUCAAAGGAUUCAUACUAACAACAUUGCAAUCAUGCUCAUCUUUCAAAGAUUUAUUGCCAAACAUUUUAAUGCAUUCUUCUUCUAGCACUUGAGCACAAUUUUCCUUCCCAUCAUUUUCACGAAAGACAUUAAAAAGAUGAAGCAUGUGAGGCACCCUCAAUUCCAAUUUUUUGUGGUUUUCUUUUAUAAACUAAACUAGUCAUAAAACAAGAAACAAAAAGAUUCAAUUGCACGAUUUAAAUAUAUACCUCCAAGCACUAAUCUCCCCGGCAAUGGCGCCAGAAAAGUGCUUGAUGUCUACUACACAACCUUCUUCUUGUAGACAUUGUUGGGACUCCAAGUGCAGAGGUUUGUAGGAAAGUAGCAAAUUUCCCUCAAGUGGAUGACCUAAGGUUUAUCAAUCCGUAGGAGGCAUAGGAUGAAGAUGGUCUCUCUCAAACAACCAUGCAACCAAAUAACAAAGAGUCUCUUGUGUCCCCAACACACCCAAUACAAUGGUAAAUUGUAUAGGUGCAUUAGUUCGGCGAAGAGAUGGUGAUACAAGUGCAAUAUGGAUGGUAGAUAUGAGUAUUUGUAAUCUGAAAAUAUAAAAACAGCAAGGUAACAAGUAAUAAAAGUGAGCGAAAACGGUAUUGCGGUGGUAGGAAAUAAGGCCUAGGGUUCAUACUUUCACUAGUGCAAGUUCUCUCAACAAUAAUAACAUAAUUGGAUCAUAUAACUAUCCCUCAACAUGCAACAAAGAGUCACUCCAAAGUCACUAAUAGCAGAGAACAAACAAAGAGAUUAUUGUAGGGUACGAAACCACCUCAAAGUUAUUCUUUUCGAUCAAUCCAUUGGGCUAUUCCUAUAAGUGUCACAAACAACCCUAGAGUUCGUAGUAAAAUAACACCUUAAGACACAAAUCAACCAAAACCCUAAUGUCACCUAGAUACUCCAAUGUCACCUCAAGUAUCUGUGGGUAUGAUUAUAAGAUAUGCAUCACACAAUCUUAGAUUCAUCUAUUCAAACCAACACAAAGUACUUCAAAGAGUGCCCCAAAGUUUCUACCGGAGAGUCAAAGGAAAACUUGUGGCAACCCCUAUGCAUAAGUUCACAAGGUCACUGAACCCGCAAGUUGAUCACCAAAACAUACAUCAAGUAGAUCACGUGAAUAUCCCACUGUCACCAUGGAUAAGCACAUGCAAGACAUAUAUCAAGUGUUCUCAAAUCCUUAAAGACUCAAUCUGAUAAGAUAACUUCAAAGGGAAAACUCAAUCCAUUACAAGAGGGUAGAGGGGAGAAACAUCAUAAGAUCCAACUAUAAUAGCAAAGCUCGCGGUACAUCAAGAUCGUACCAUAUCAAGAACACGAGAGAGAGAGAGAGAGAGAGAGAGAGAGAGAGAGAGAGAGAGAGAUCAAACACAUAGCUACUAGUACAUGCCCUCAGCCCCGAGGGUGAACUACUCCCUCCUCGUCAUGGAGAGCGCCGGGAUGAUGAGGAAGGCCACCGGUGAUGGAUUCCCUCUCUGGCAGGGUGCCAGAACGGGCUCUCGAGAUGUUUUUGGUGGUUACUGAGGCUUGCGGUGGCGGAACUCCCGAUCUAGAUUUCUUUGCGGGGGUUUCUAUAUUUAUAGGAAUUUUUGGCGUCGGUCUUACGUCAGGGGGGUCUUCGAGUCAUCCAGUAGAUAGGGGCGCGCCCAGGGGGGUAGGGCGCACCCUCCACCCUCGUGGACGGCUCAGGACUCUUCUGGCCCAACUCUUUUACUUCGAGGGCUUCUUUUGGUCCAUAAAAAAUCAUCAAAAAUUGGCACGUCAAUUGGACUCCAUUUGGUAUUCCUUUUCUGUAAAACUCAAAAACAAGAAAAAAUAGAAACUGACACUGGGCUCUAGGUUAAUAGGUUAGUCCCAAAAAUCAUAUAAAAUAGCAUAUAAAUGCACAUAAAACAUCCAAGAUGGAUAAUAUAAUAGCAUGGAACAAUCAAAAAUUAUAGAUACGUUGGAGACGUAUCAACUUCCCUCCGGGAGGGGGAAAUCGAAGCCAUCAUCGUCACCAACGACCCUCUCAUCAUGGGAGGACCAAUCUUCAUCAACAUCUCACAAGCACCAUCUCAUCUCAAACCCUAGUUCAUCUCUUGUAUUCAAUCUUUGUAUCAAAACCUCUGAUUGGUACCUGAGGGUUGCUAGUAGUGUUGAAUACAUCUUGUAGUUGAUGCUAGUUGGUUUAUUUGGUGGAAGAUCAUAUGUCCAGAUCCAUUAUGCUAUUCAAUAACCCUAUGAUCUUGGACAUGAAUAUGAUGUGUGAGUAGUUACUUUUGUUCUUGAGGACAUGGGAGAAGUCUUGUCAUAAGUACUCAUCUGAUUUGGUAUUCGUUCGAUAUUUUGAUGAUAUGUAUGUUGUUGAUUCCCUUAGUGGUUAUGUGAACAUCGACUACAUGACACUUCACCAUCUUUGGGCCUAAAGGAUUGCAUUGUGGAGUAGUAAUUAGAUGAUGGGUUGCUAGAGUGACAGAAGUUUAAACCCUAGUUUAUGCGCUAUUCCGUAAGGGGCUGAUUUGAAUCCAUAUGUUUAAUGUUAUGGUUAGAUUUACCUUAAUUCUUAUUUCAUAGUUGCGGAUGCUUGCGACAGGGGUUAAUCAUAAGUGGGGGGCUUGUUCAAGUAAGAACAACACCCAAGCACCGGUCCACCCACAUAUCAAAUUAUUAAAGUAGUGAACGUGAAUCAAACGAACAUGAUGAAAAUGACAAGAUGAGAUUCCCGUGUGUCCUCAAGAAUGCCUAGCUUAUUAUAAGAGAUUGUUCCGACCUGUCCUUUGCAACUAAAAGGAUAAGCUACCUUGCAACACCGUAGUUACUACUGCUACUUGUCACUUGUUACAAAUUAUCUUGCUACCAAACUACUCGUUACUGAUAAUUUUAGUGCUUGCAGAAAAUACCUUGUCGAAAACCGUUUGUCAGUUCCUUCUGCUCAUCAUUGGGUUUGACACUCUUAAUUAUUGAAAGGACUGUGAUUGAUCCCCUGUAUUUGUGGGUCAUCACUAACCCACACCACCUCAACCCCCACUGAAGAGAACCACCGGUCAUCACCAACCUAUGUCAAGUUUCACAUAUCCCUCGAACCACCCGACCGAGCCCGAACAACAUGUUACAUAUUUUUUGCACUAAAAUAGGCUUUCAAUCUCUAACAUCUUAUGUUGUGGCAUCUCCAACAGGUGAGUGAAGUGUUCCAUUAGACUUCAGCUCCACCUUCAAUAUGAUUCCAUGGUGGUUGUACGUGCCACUCUGUGCCCGUCAACUUUAAGCUCUCAUGUGUACAUCAUCUCGAAUCAACCCGCGCCAUCGCCAUGAUUCAGUGCACAAGCCCUCAGGCAUGCGCCAUAUGUUUCCACGCUGAUAAGUUGGUUAAUCACUCUCCUAUGUCAUUGUCAUCAAUAUCACCAUCAUCUUUUAUUUUAACCGUCAUGCAUGUCAAUAUGCUAGACUGUCCAAGCUAUCCAUCCUAUAUGUCUAACACUAGUUGAACUUGUCCAACUGCAACCAUGCACCACACCACACCAUGUCAACCCAACACACCAUCAUGCAUUGCUCAACAUCUGUGUAGAACAUGAUCCUUUGCUCGGCGUCUUUGUAGAACACGAUCCUUUUUGAUACGCUCCAGGCUCCGAAAUCAUCUUCCAUGAAUUCUCAUCCGUGAUAUUUCCAUAUCAGCAAGCUUGAAUUUUCGUAGUCGAGAAGCAUCUCUAUUGUUCCAAUACAUUUUUAGUCUUGUUUGCAUGGUUUUCCUACUUAAUCAUUUUAUCUUGACUCAAUCAUUCCCUACUCCAUUUAUAACCCUCUAAUUUUUUGUUUGGUGGGAAAAGCAUGAUAUUAUCAUCAUGUAGUUUUAUAGUAAUAAAUGCCAUAAGAAUACAAGAGUCUUAUAAACCAACAAAAUCAGAAAAGGGAAGGAAAGCUAAAUGUUUGCCGUGCAAUGCUCUAGAUUGGAGAAGGAUGUUUUUCCUUGAAAAAUGUCAGUUUUCAUUGAGAAUGGAGGUCCUAGAAGCUAUCAGCUAUGUAAAUUCUUGAACUACUACUUCCAAUCAUAUGUUUUUGUUUGUUUGUUUUCUUCUAGGUUCGGCCAAACCCACUGGGAGUUGCGGGGUCCAUGCGUGACGUCAGGCUCUACCAUUGUAGCUAUUAGAAGCUGAUUUCUCCAUCAUAAAGUUGUUGCUCUUGGUUCCUUUCAUUGGGUUUCUAGCCUCGGUGUUAAUCAACCCUCCCGUAAUAUGUCGCCAGUUAGUACUUUAGCCCUCACCAUGAAUUACCUUUUUCAUGGCAUCAAUUACAUGAGCAUGAAUAAAAAGCACAAGAAAUUAUUCUCUUCGUGACUUACAUGACCAUGGAUAUAUGCACCUUAAAUUAAUCUUUUCAAUACAUCAUUCAUAUGACUAAAGGUUGUAUCUACAUAGAAAGAACUGAAUACCAAGAACCCGUAGUGUGGUGUUUUUUGAGAGAAAAUACUAUAAUGUAUGUUGGAUGUCUCUACUUGUGAGAAAGAUACAAAGAAUAAUACGUAUGUAGACAUGGAAGAUCUUCGCCACUUAACAUGGCCAAUCAAUUUGUUGUUAAACGUUGACUUCCACUAUCCUAAUACUCCUCUAAGAGCGUUUAUAGCCGGACUUAACAAAUAUGCCCCCCUAAACACCCACGGACGCGCCCGAUCAGUGACUGAGCGUGUCCAUUUUGAACCUCUAUUUGUCCGUCCAUGCAGCCAUACUCCUCAUUUUCUCCUUUAUAUGUCCAUUCACGUGCGUGUGAUUGGUGGAGAUGAAGAGAAAGAGAGAAAAGAAUAAAUAAACAAAGAUAAAAUGCAGUCUGGGAUGGGACGCGUCCUACGUGGCGGACUGACCGGCAAAUCCGUGAGUCCUCAUAUUCUCCCUACAUUUGUCCUCAGUAUGAGGGUUCGAGGACAGUCUGGACGUAUAGGGAUGAUGUGAGGGGUCCGGUUGGAUCACUUUUUCCCUUCUCUCUCCUGUCUGGUCACCGACCAGUCGCGUCCACGAACGUUUGAGGGGGAUUUGAGGAACCUGGUUGUAGAUUCUCUAACAUUUUGCCCAUAUGGUAUGGUGCUCCUGUAAUUUUUUUACAUGGCAAUGUGCAGUUUUCGUAGCCCACAUUCUUCUUUAUUUAUAUUCAUUAGAUAUUUCUUGCUUAUUUUUCUAUGCUCCAAAUCUUCUUGCUAGGUUUUGACGCUCUUAGGAAUAAUUCAAAAGGUAUUCCUUGUUAUGUUUUUCAAGGACCUCAUCAUGCCUAGCGGGGUGCGGCCCUAGACGGCCUUGCGUUCAGCGGAGAUCGGAAUCGGGACGGUGGUCCCGGGACUUUUUGGUGGUGGCUUCGCUGCGGUGGCUGCGAGGGUAGGCCGGCUGCUGCCUAUGGAUCCAAGCAGCGAUGGCCGCGGCGACAUCUGCGCCGGUGGUUGAAGAAUCAAAGACGGAGAUGUCAUCCAUGGCAGCGGCAGUCACUUGCGAUUCGACUCUUCCCUGAUUUGAAAUAGAAUACAACAUAUCAGGGGUACUACGUGGCCACGGGUGCAGCUGGACAACUGAAGGGAUUCAUUUUCCCAAGCUUGUCAUCAGCUAAUGGCAAGGACGGCAUGGGCCUGCCAGAGGGGCCCUUAACAUGGGUUUUGGCGGUGCUUGGCAGUCGUGUCAUCGCCCGACGGCAAGCUCAUAUGAGCACAACUUUGGUCGCGUUGAUCAACCAUGCGCGUGAGCAGUGGUUGGAAAGCCCAACAAUCAGGUUGAAGACAUUCUGAGAUGUCAUGUUCCAUGGUCCUCAUGCACGAGAUGCAUAUUCGUUGCCGAGUGGUCUGGGCGGCAUUGUCAAGGACAAAAGGAAUGAAGGUGGUGGUCAAGCGGAUGCGACAUAACAUUGUGCCUGUGUUUUGGGGGUGCUAAUUCAAUAUCAGGACUGGAGUUUCAGGGUGAAAACCCUUGGUGUGACCUUCGUUGGUCAUACCUGCAAUGGCGGUGUUUUGACAUCGUUACCUUGUUGAAGUCAUGGCAUAAAAUUUUGCUCAGCUCUGCUCUCAUGGUGAAAACACAAGAUUUAGUCUUUGAUUAAAUCCGGCAACGGUGACACUUAUGCGUCCUUAUCUUUCUGAAGACGUUGCUUUUGGAGAACCUUCUCGCAUCAUGUGUGUUGUCAUGGUAGUGGUUGAUGUUGCUGUUGGUUACUGCGUGCCUUAGAUCUUGGUUUCUUCUUUCUUUCUUUUGUUCUUGUUUUAUUUUUUGGCUUUGUGAAUCCUCAAUGCCUUGACUUGAUCGCCGCAUUGUGUUGUUGCAGAGGCCAGGUGUACUUGAUAUCGUCUUGAUAUUAAUAUAUUACCCUUUGUCGAUUUUUUUUGAUUCAUUUUAGAAUUUAUUGGUCCUAUUUUAUCGUAAAUCACUCCAAUGCAUACUNNNNNNNNNNCCUUGACAUCUCUUACUCUGAUGAUAUCUUCCAUUUGUAUCUUUGCAGGGGCAUCUCACUUUCUUGUUGCAUGUUGAUUUCUGAGUCAAAUUCCUUACUCAGUGCCACAAUUUCAUCUAUAGGCAUAUACGAAAUACAUGUUUAUGUUCCACAAGGAAUUCAUUCUUACGGUAUCUUUAUCUUCCACUUUCGGUCAUGUUUUAGACCAUCAAUUUUAGGGUUGACGUGAAUAUCAAAUGCAAACGGAAUCCAAAAAUUUAUGUGUGUUUCUCUAUCUUCUAAAAUUCUAAGCUCCUAGGAAUGAUGGCACUCCAUCGGGGCUUUGGGUCACUAGUAUGCCCAUCUGGAAGGGAGUGAAUCAUUAUUGUGUGUCGCGUUUGGGUCAACUCCCAAUUGAACAUGGCACACAUAUGUUGUUUUCUGUGUUAAAAAUAAGAAUAGCACAACCACACAUAUAAGAACUUAGUUCACCUCGAACAUAACAUACUGCUUCCACUUCCAUCAUAUAAAAGUGAAGCAAAAAAAAAA